This 59428-nucleotide long non-coding RNA is filed under the name Citrus x clementina. Its description in RNAcentral is "Citrus clementina (C. clementina) long non-coding RNA (CCLE_LNC003650)". The record is from RNAcentral. Lineage: Eukaryota; Viridiplantae; Streptophyta; Magnoliopsida; Sapindales; Rutaceae.
UAUUCAAAGCUGGAACAUUCUUGCACAUCAAUGGAGUCACAAAGUUCAAACAAUUCUGUUCGAUCAAGCACAUUUUAUGAGCCUGCUUGGAGGAAUACAAUCAAUGGCAAGCUCAUUAGGUUCUCAAACAAGAUAUGCAAAUGCUAUAUGAGAGCUGAUUUGAAGAUUUCAGAAUCCGAUGACAAUCCACAUAUGCUUUACUACCGUUGUGCCAAAAAAAAUGGUUGUGGAUAUUUUAAGUGGUGGGCACCAAAUAGAGAUGAUUUUAACAAUGGAGCUUUAUUUGAAGGAUGUGUGUCAACAGAUGUAUGUUAUGCGGUACUAUCUAGAAUUGAAAAUGACGUGAAGACAAUGAAGACCAUAGUGGAGAAAUCACGAAAAUCUACGAAGGUUGCAACUGUUGCUAAGGUUAUGGUAGUAUUCAAUGUGUUAUUUUUUCUUUUCAAUGUUGCGAUGUACCUUAUGUAGUGUGUCACCAAGUCUAAUGCUUUCUAAACUAAAUGUUCCAGUGAUGACUAAAAUUUUUUUUGUUGCUUUAUAACUCAAAUGCAAUAGUGUUUUCUAAGUGAAAUAUAUUUAUAACUCUAAUUUGUAAUGAAACACAAAGUCAAUCAUGCCACUCAUAUAUUUAAAAAAAAAAAAACUAACUGAGUUGACCUAUUAUCAGCAUCCAAAUGUGUUCGAGCAAAAAAUAAAUUGUAACUACAAAGUAAACAAUAACAAUUUCUGAGCAUCUGUCAAAGACCAUUCACACAUCUAAUUAUGUGAUAUUCCAAUAUCACUUGUAACCAAUCCAUCAACAAAUAAAACUGAACUUAAAAACAUCAAGCAACCAAAUGUAGUAAUAUGAUAUUUCAAUAUUAAUAAAAUCCAGCAACAACACAAGUGUUAACUGUCACUAAUGGCUGUGAAACAAUCAGCCAAUACAACAUCAACAGCAGCCCAUAUUUACAAAAAAAUCAACUUUCAACAGUUUGUUAAGUUUUGACUUAACUGAAAUGCUUUGUUAAUGGUGUGAGUAUUUUCACUAUCACACAGUUCACAAAAAAAGAACAAAAAGAUGAUACAAUAUCUAUACAAUUUAAAGCUUAUACAGGUAAGGUAAAGUAUCAUCUCAUCCUUCCAAAAAAUUUGUAGUCUGGGAUUAGUCUGGGCUCUGUCAUUACUAUACAAAAAAAUUUCUUACCACCAAAGCUGUUGCUGCAGGAUUUAUCAUCUACAAGCUCUCUAUGAUUGGGUUAAUUGUCCUUCAAUAAUAAAAAUUUGUAUUAGUAAGUAUGAAAUAGUUUAUAAACAAAUAAAUUAAGAAAAGUGAGUUGCUGAAUCAGUAAAUUCAAACCAUCAUCAUGGACAAAUUCUUGCGUUCCAGAUUCAAUGACAGCUGCUGCCUCAAGUUGAUUCUGGGCUCCUGAGCUCUGUCCUUUUUCAUUAUUGAUCCCCGAUCCAUUUCCCUUGAGUUGAAGUGUAAACAAAUCAUGAGAUUAUUAAACAGAUAUAUAAGUUGGAAAUUUAAAUAAAGAGAACUUCAAAACUUAUAAUUACACAAAGUAACCUGUGUUGACUUUAAAUUUUUCUUCUUUGUCAUUUUUUUUGAACCCUUAUCAACUUUGCAUGUCCUCACAUUAUGCCCCCACUCUUCGCAAUUACUGCACCUAACACUGGAACUCCUCUUGAAUGCCCUGUUUUCAUCCGCCUCUCUUCUCCUUUUCGUUUGAGGCCUGCCAGCAGUUCUAAUGAUUAUAGGUGGAAGCAUGUUAUCAUGCAAUUCAGGAGGCCACCUACUUUCAUCAGGCACUGGAUAGUACUGAUGCUUAUAAGUCUUCUUCAAUGCUUCAUUCUUCAAUAAAGGAUGCACAAAAUCAUUGACGUUGUACCUCAUAGCAUCAAUGCAACAUAGUGCAUGAGCACAAGGCAAACCAGACAAUUGCCACUCCAUACAAUCACACUCCUUAGCCUUUAAAUUGACAACUUUUCUUUUGGAAACAUCCUCCAUAACUUCAAAGGUAUCAUUAUGCCCAAAUAUAACUGACAUGGACCUGGACUUCACCCUUCCAUCUAGUAUUCUCCUCCUAACUUGUGGUGGCACUUCAUCUUGACACAUGAUAGCCUGCUCAUACCUUCUAUGAAUCAGAUUCAUCACCUUUCUUCUUAUCUCUUCUACCAUCCUAACAAUAGGCAAUCCCCUAAAAUUAUUGAUCCAGUUGUUGAAUGACUCUGACAUGUUGUUAGUCACAUGGGAGCAUUUUGUGUGCGUUGGAAAUUUAUGCUUAGCCCAGCAACAAACUGGAAUCUGCAUCAGCCAAUCAUGUGCUGCAGAAUGAAUAUUAUUCAACUCAGACAUGUGAGUGUUGAAGUCUGCUAGGUUUGAACUUCUACAAGCUUUCCAGAAUGAAUUACGUAAUAGUACACCAGGAAAUUUCUGCUUGAAGUUAGCAUAUAUAUGCCUACAACAAUACCUUUUUAAAGAUUCAGGAAACACUAUCUCCAAAGCAUUUAAAAUUCCCUUUUGCCUAUCACUCAUAAAACACAACCCACUACCAUCAUUACAGCCUAUCUGCUCAUAUAAUUUAUUCAUAAAGUACACCCAAGAGUUAGUAUUUUCACUCUCAACAACACACAUUGCUAGUGGAUAGAUACCAUUAUUAGCAUCUAUACUAACUGCAGACAACAAUACACCUUUAUAUAACCCCUUUAGAUGACAACCAUCAAGCCCUAUAAACUGUCUACACCCUUCAAAGAACCCCCUCCUAUUUGCAUCAAACAUAACAAAGAACCUUUUAAAAUGAGGGUUCUGCCCACCACCUAACCAAUCUCUAUCUAUAGUUACAGUUGAACCAGGAUUAGAGAUGAGAAUUGCAUGCAUAUACCUGUAUAGUUUAGUAUAGCUGGCCUUAUGGUCCUGCCCUAACAGCUCCAAUGCCUUGUUCUUAGCCCUAUACAACCGCUGAUUACUGCAUUUGAUACCAAAUCUCCUAAGUAGCUCACUUGCUAUUACUUCAAUGUUUAGCUGAGGGUUGGCUCUAAAUAGAUGAAGAAAUGUUGCAGCAAUCCAAGUUGAAUUUGCUUCGUAGUUAUCACUACCUCUAGCACAAAUGUGUUCAGGCCGGAAUGUUUUGAUUUGAAAGUGUUUACCAUUCCAAUUUGGACUUGCGUGAACCCUCCAAGUACAACCUACUGCUGCACAUGCCAGUGUGACUCUACUCUUUUCAUUUUUUACCCUUUUCAGCCUAAAACCAUUUUGUAUCGCAAAAACUUUCACCACAUUCCUAAACUCAUCCACGUUCUUAUACACUGCUCCAACCCUCAACAUAAUCCGUUCCCCAUCUAUAUUGAACUCAAAACCCCCUGAAUUGGCCUCAUAUCUAUUACAUGCAUCAUGAACUUCAUCAUCUGACAACAUAUCUGAGUUUGAACCACUAUCGUCUGCUGAUUCGUAGUCAUCUAAACCAGCAUCCCAAGUAUUAUUAUUUCCAGCAUCAUCCCCACUAUCACUGUCCACCAUUUCUUCACACCCUACACAGUUAUCAAUAGUUAUAUUCUUGGCUGACCCAUCUCGUACAAUCUCAAUUGGCUGCCGCUUUUUGAAUGAAUCUUCUACAAUAACACUACUGCUCUCAAAUUCUGAAGUUAUUACGGCUUCAUUCAAGUCAGGCACUAUAAUUUCAUUCACUUCAGCAAGGUCAAACCACUCAAAUUCAGCCUCUUUAUCCAAUGAAACAGGGAAUUGCUCAACUGGGGAUCUGAAACCAUAAUCUCGUUACUAAAUGUUCGAAACAAGUUAAAAAAAAAAAGAAAUAGAACUACAAGCACAUUGGAGCCCAAGCACUAAUCUAACUGACCAGAAAUGGAAAAUGGAAAAACUUAUGAACCACAAUGGCUUCAUCAAAAACUUAAAAUCGACUAUAAAUAAGAACAUAAACCAAAAAACAUAAUGAAAUAGGAACUUGACCUGGAAAAACACGGCUUCACCAUGCUGGCAUUUUACACAACGAACAGCUUUAAUUCGAGGAAGAGUUGGAUCCGCAGCCACAUCCUGCAAAACUUGAGUGCGCUCACCGACAAAGUGAUUUACCUCAUUCCUAUAGAAGCAGUUAUUGUCAGCAAACUCCUGCAAAGAAUUGGAAAGCCAUACAAAUUAGGGGAAAAAAAACACACCAGCAAAACCCUCCUAUUACUUACAGUCAAUAAUGAGCAGAUUACUUGUAGCACCGCCCAUAAUUAAAUUUAUCAAAGAACAUACAGCAUUUGGAAAUAUAUUAAAAUUAUAUUAAAAUUGUGCAGUUAAUGUUGAAUGACUACUUGGCACCUACCAUUGACCAAAUUAACAAAAUGAAUAAAAAAGGUAAAAAUAAAUAGAAAAAAAUUUAGAAAACUUUGAAAACUCCCCACAGAAGGAAACACUUUCCCAAACAAGAUUGAUAUUAGACAACAACAAUCAACAGAUAUCGGGUUAAAUUGCCCAUUUUCUGAACGUGCAAUAAAAAAUAUCCUUUUGACAUUAAUAUAAACCAAAGCAUGCAACCACAUAUUGAACUUUUUAAAACACUCUGCUAAGUCACCAACUAAAUAAAAAUAGAGCAACAUAAAAGUAUUAGGGUUUCGUAAUAUUGAUGGGUUCAACACUAAUUAAAAUAAAAAAGAAGAGAAAAUUAGAGAACAAAUAAAAAAGAGAAGUUGCCUGGUGAUCGCAGUUGCGGUAAGCAUAAAGGAGGAUAUUUUGAUCUUUGUCUUCUUAUGGCACUCUUUCUCUACUAAAGCAUAACAGAGAUGGAGAAAAUGGGUGGAAUUUUGUUCUCGGUAGUGUUGGAGUGUUGGUUUGAGCUAAGCAGGGAGAUGUCCAUUUCUCUUUCUUUUUGGGUGGAUUGAUAAUAUCUUGUGGUUAAAUGCUUGCUUUUGGUUUUUACUCAAUGGAUAUAAACGAACAUCAAAUCUCUUUUUUGGUGGAAUGGUAAUAUUUUUUGGUUAAAUGCUUGAUUCGAUUUUAAACCCAAUGGAUUUAAACAAAUUUCAAAUCAUUCUCAGAAUCCAAUGUGAUAAUUUAAAGUUUGUUAGAAUUUUUUAUUAUUAAUGAGUUCUAUUACCAUUUUAUCCUCACCAACUCAAAUUAUACUAAAUGGUAUACUAACGUCAGGGGAGGUGGCUGAUAAUACGCGAAUACAAUCUCUCAAACUAAGAAUACGCGAAACCUCAGGGGAGGUUUCUGAUAAUAACCCUUUUAUUUUUCUAAAAGCACUUUUCAAAAGUUGUGUGUGGAAGAACCAGCUUUUGCGCAUAGGAAAAAGGUUUCGUUUUUUUGGGCUUCGUUUCUAGCUAACGAGAGAUACACUUUGGGUGUUUGGUCCACCAUUUGGCCCAAUUUAUGUAAGGUCUCUAUCUUUUCGGUGCAUUACAUGCACGUGGCAGGCACGUUGUAAUGGUUUUCUUUUUUUUUUUUCCUCUUUUAGCCAAAAGGUGAUGGUGUUAAACUUAAAAUUGUGUUUAAAUUUAUAUAUUUGAAUUUCCCCGUUUAACAAAAUAAGAAACCAGCAGUAGAUUCCAUUUGCGCUAUAUAUGUAUGUACACACACACACACACACACACAAAAGCUAUUAUACUGAUUGAGUGCAACUCUGCUUGCUUCCAUUACCAUCAAUUGUAUUUUGCACAUGAUCCCAAAUAUAAGCUGUCUUUGCUGAACUAGACAUGUAUGUUGAUAUUGCUCACCUUUUUUGACGCACAUAGCCACAUACACACACAAAUUCAGAAAAUGAUAACCAUAGAAACUACAUUAAGUAUGAUAUAAACCCUAGAUUGGUAUUGAGAUUGGAGAAAUUAUUGGGCAUGGAAUGCAUAUGUAAUCCAAUCUGGCUUAUCCUAUCUUUAAUAAUUCCAGCUCUCUUCGGGGCCCAUGUGUUGGAGACCAAAACUCCCAGUCUCAUUGACCAGCGUCCCAAAAAUCCUAAGAGACUAAGUGAUGAUGAUGUGCAUUAUCAUAUGAUAUCAUGAUGGUACUGAAAAAGAUCACUUAUCCACUCAUCAUUUUCAUUUUACUCUACCUUCCAAGCAUAUAGAAACAAGCAAAACCCGGAAGACACCCCUGCUGCAUUAUCAUCAUCAUUCUCUGCAGAUGAUGGAUCAUGACUGCAGAAUUCGGCCAACUUUGCUGCUGAUGAUUCCGGAGACGAAGGAGUUGAUUUUGAUGCUGAUGAUGAUGUAACUGCAACUGGCUUGAAAAUGAACAAACCAUGCCUUGGACCAGACCCAAAUAGCCAGUCAUGAACAUCCCAAUAAACUUCAACUCUAGUUUUGCUUAUAUUGAUAAACUCAUUGCCUCUGAACUUCCAAUGCAGAUGCCUAACAUGCACCGCUCUCUUCCCAUCAACUCUUAUUUCCAAUUCAGGAUCAAACCCACCUAGAUUGCUGUCACAAUUGAUGUUAUUAUUACACUCAACUGAGAUAUCAUGUAGUGGUGCCUUCUCUUGAAACUUAACUCUUGUAGAGAAUUUCUUCUUACCAAACACAUGUUCCUUUCUUGAAACCAACGUAGGUUCAAUAAGAGAAGGCCUGCAACCUGUCUUUCUAAAGGCGUCUUUUUUCAAAUCACCAAGAAGUAAAACAACCUCUUCUUCACAAACAAUGGCAACAUAGUAAUCCGAUCGUGGCUCUGUCUCCCCAUUGAACUUUGCAGCUUUAAGGUCCCAAAAGAUAUCAACAGCUCUACUGUCUACUGUAAUGUGUUUGGAGCCUUGUUUUCUCCAGAAGUACCAUGGCUUCAGUUCAACUUUACACCGAUAAUGUUCAUCUCCAUCAGGUCCUUCAACAGAAACAGAGAGACCAUGUAGCAGCAAAUUCUUGCACCAGGUGACGGUGAUCAAACGACAUUCACCAGCAAGCUUUGUUCUAUAAACAGACAUGAAUACACUCUGCCCUGACCUGGCUACAGUAGCCGGAUCAUCAGCUUGCCUUUCACCAGAUGAAAAGCAAGCAGGAAUUGCAAUUGAAUCAUGCAUGGUACUUGAGAGAAUGAGCAGAGAGAAUUGAUUUGGUUUAUAUAGAAAAUGGGAAAUGGAUAUAUUUUUAAGUGGGAAGAAUAAUAUAAUAAUGAACGGAUCAGGAUCUCACCCACUAGAUCUGACGCAUUGAUGCUGCCAGAGUUUCUGUUGGCAGCUUGUUAUCAUCAAGAGGAAAAUGCUCAACUUCUAAGCUGGCAGUUUUUAAAGGAUGGAGGCAAUACUAGAAUGAUGGAAGGGAAACAUAUUUUCUAUUCAACUAAAUGAAACCCAAGUAAUCUUAUUUCAUCAGUUUCUUUCUUUUAUAAUUUUUCUUUCUGUUUGUGCCAAAUACGAAUGCACCUUUUCCGUCUUCGAUGUGGGUUGGCUUCAAUGAUAGGAGUCAUCCCAAUAAAAUUAAAUUAACUUUUUCGUGCAUGGUAAAAAGCGAGCAUACACUUUUUCAGCAGAUUUGAAGUUUAUGUGAAAAUGCACCUCAAAAAGUAGCUCAUAUAGGAGAAAAAGUGGGGCCCUUUCAUGCAUGAGAGCAUGUGGGUGGGCGCAAAAAUGAGGCUGGCCGAAUAUGUUAAAAAAUAAAAUAAAUUUGGAACAAUAAUAAUAAUAAUACAUUGCCAAACGAAAAAGGAACCAUAUGCCUGGGUUUCUUCUUCAGCUAUAUUUGAAAUUUGGGCAAAAUAUUUAGGGGAAAGCGAUUCUGAAAUCCCAAGGAUUCUGCAGAAUUUGCAGCAUAUCCUCUCUCUAUCUUGAAUUGAGCAGUGACAUGGAGAUAAGUACAUAGUAAUCUUCACUUCUCUGGAUGUGAACAUAAAAGAUUAAAAAUAGAUAUGCUUCAUUAUAUGAAACGCUCUCCUACAACUCACUUAUUCAUACAUCUACAUGAUUAAUGAUGAUGUCUGAGUAAUGGUAUGACGUAAUUCGUAGAUCCCUAGAUCCUCUUUAAUUGGGCGUCUUCAAGUACCUUCCUAAAUUCAGUUCAUUAAAAAUGCAAAUGGUGGCAGUGAAGUUAGGAAUGAAUACUAGAUGCUGACGAAAUUGAACUUGCAUUCAUAAUCAAUUAAUUCUCAACAGUUUUUUCCUACAAAAAGAGAUCCGAAUUUUAUGUUACCAAUCAGAAACAUCACCGCCGAAUGACGCUGCUCUUUCACUGUUGACUGAUGUUGUGUGCAACUCCACAACAUGGAGCCCAUCCUAGUUUAUCGUAAUGGUUCCAAAUAUACAAGAGAGAGAUACUUUGGAGUGUAACUAAUCAUUGUGGCUAGCCCAGUUACAGAAAACUCAAUCAGCUGGUGCAUCUAAAGCGGUUUAAAUCAAUUAUCAUCACAGUGAUGUCAUCCAAACUACCCCUACUCAUGGCAAGGUUUGCGAGCUCCUUGCAAGCAGCCAUAAGUCCUGAAGAAGCAGGACUCUUCUUGUAGUCAGUGUUCUCUUGACUUGAGGACUCGGUCUUUACAUUUAUUCGCUUGAUUAUUGAAAUUCUUCUUGACUUUGAAGAAGGUGAUCCAAGUUCAGAAGCAAAGUCAUCUUCACUAAUUGUCUUCUUACAUCUGGGUGACAGACUUGCAUCUUUUGCUUGCUUGACCAGCGAGACCCUUCGUAUCUUUGAAGAUGGACUUACAUUCACACAGCCAUAGUCCUCAUCAUCGUCUUUACUAAAAUCUCCUAAGGUUCCUAUUGCUUUCCCAGCUAACAACCGUUUCACAAUAUCAACAGCUUCUUGGUUACCAACCUGGGAAAAGAAGUCAGAGGUCAAAAUAAAAAAUCAAGCGAAGUUAUAAUCAUCUUUAACAGUAACAUAAAAUCCACAUUUCUGUGCACAGUGCAUAACAUAAGAAAGCAACACAUUGAGGAUCUUCACAUUACAAUUAGAUUUAUGGCUUAAGUUGAGAAACAAGCCAAUUUCAUUUUAGAAGGAUCACUUGACUACAACCUUAUGUUAGAAAGGAAAGUAUUUCAGACAGGCACAGGUUACUAAAAACUUUACUAAAAAGAGACAAGAGUCUGAUGGCUCGAUUUGUCUUCACAUUUUGUAGAUUAAAUAAAAAAAAUUUUGCUGUAGACUUAAGUACCUAACCUACCAUAUUGUCAGCUUAAAAAAAACCGUUGGUAUUAUGCAAAAAAUGAACCAUACAAAAGACCUUUUUUUUUUUUUUUUUGGGAUAAGAACCAUAAGAAGGACCUUAAACAAAAGAAGAUUAAACCAUUUUGCACAAGCAAUUACAUAAACAAAAAAAACACAACCGGCAGGGGCACAGCAGAGUGCCACUUCUUACCUCAUCCCAGAAUCCAUCAGAAGCCAACACAAGAAACUCCAUGUCUGAACUAAAAUUGAGAAUUUUUGUAUCAGGCUCAGCCAGUACCCAGUUCUUCAGAUGAGCAUUUCCUAUACUUCUCGACACAGCAAGUAUCCCAUGAACUCUCCAAGCUCCUCGGUGGAAUUCGACGUAGCCCCCCUGAAACACAUUAUCAAUAAAAGCCAUCAAAAUGAAUCUGAGCUCCACACUUCUAAUUUUGACCACUCAAAAAUAACCCACCUCAUUCUCUAUUCGUUUGCGUUCAUCCUCUCUCCCUGCUUUAUGAUCAUUUGUUAGGGCUUCAGCCACUCCUCCCCUACAGAGGACAGCUCUGCAAUCUCCCAAGUUUGAGACUACAACAUCAUGCCCCUCGAUAAAGGCUGUGACGCAGCAGGCACCACUGACUAGACCCUGCAUUUAUUCACACACUGAUUCAAACAUAUCUGCAAAAUAAAACAUGAAGAAAUAUAACAGAAAUGGUUAAAAAAAUGAUGCAGGCAUCUCCCACACACACACACACACACACACACACACACUAUGCAAGUUCUAAGUUCAGAAGGCUAUAACCAAAUCAGCCAAUCUAAUGUAUUCCUUCUAGCUCAAAUCUUUGCAGCCUGUUGGUGUCUAUUUAACAAUAUCGGUAUAAGAAAUACCAGAGAAAUGCCAUUAAAUGUAAUAGAGAUUGCCAGCAUACAGUCUAGUCUAAAUACAAUAAACAAAAGGAUUCUUAAUUUGGUCAUAUGCGGCCACAGGCGAAGGAACGUUGAUCAGUUUCAUUAUUAGACCAAUGUCCCCUCUAUAACUGUAUUUAGCCAGCAGCUUUUGUGGACAAAGUAUAAAGGAAAACUUAGGAACGAAGAUUUCUAAUUUCCAAUUUGUUUGGGUUGACUUGAAUUUAAGAUGUUCAUAUUGAAUCUUACCUAAUAAUUUAUUUCAAUUUCAAAGACAUUGAAUGAAUAAUAAUUGCUAGGAAAGCAAAAUUCACUAAUUCACCAAAAAAAAAAAAAAAUAGACAAUUACCUGUUUCAAAAACUCCGCGUCUGUUUUAAGAUAACCAGCUUUAACAGCUUCCUCCUUAUCUCCUGUACAAGUCUUCAUCAUUUCAAAAAUAUUCGUGUGCAAAUUCUCCGCCACAAACUCUGCAGCCAUUUUGCCUCCAUGUCCAUCAUAAACACCAAAGAAACUCUAAACAUAAGCAACAAAAGAAUGUCUCAGCAAAACAAACAAAUAAAAGAAAGAAAAAUAGGAAAAUAGGGAAAAAAAAAAAAGCGAUUACUUUAUUAGAGUUGCCAUGCAAGCAGGAAAUGAUCUUGUGGGUAUCUUCCAUGAACUUUUUCUUGCCUUUGAGGGAAGAAACAGCGACGCCAAUCCCACUGAAAGAAACGGCAUCGUCUUGAACUAGGGGCGACGUCAAGUCUUUGAACUUGAGCUUAUCCCUUUGGAUUUCUUGCAAAACAUUGGGGAUCUCAAUCUUGGGCGGUCUCUUUCUCUUUAAGGAAACACUUGAAGAGUUAGCAGCGUUUGGCUUCUUCUCCAUUUUUGCUUCAAAAGGUGAACGCGAGUUGUCGUCGUCGGCCAUUGCAGUUGUUGCUGGAAUGCUUGGCAUUAAGACGUAAGGGAGAGGGAGAAGAGUGCUGCUAACGGCUAUAAAAGAAAGAGGGGGGAGAGAGAAACAGAAAGGAAAGGAGAGGAGUGUUUGUUGUUUCGUUUUUGUUUGUGUUUGGAGUCAAAUAAAAAGGUCAAAGGGGAUAGCUUCCGCUCGAGCCGUUGGGCGAUGGGGGUAGUCUAACUAUUAGUGGGUCAAACUUUGAAUGCACACUUGGUCGGUUGUGUUUUGAGAGACGUGGGAGGGAAAACAAAUCCUCCUAAACUCCGUCCUAAAUUUGGCUACAGGCUUUUCUUUUGUGUGAAUUAAUAAUUAUUUGGAUAUUAUCAUAUCAACAAACAAUUUCCUUUGAAAAUAUUUGCUACUGGCAUGCCCACGAAUCAUUGAUAUCGCUUAAAUUGAAGUUGUUUAAUUUAUCUCUUGCGUAAUUUUAAAUUUAAAAGGCCUUUAUAUUAUUAAAUAAUUAUAAAUUUAGGCAGCUUUUCUUUAUAAACUUAAAACAUCUUAAAUCCAUUAUUUUUAUACUUAUGACCUUGAAAAUAUUAUAUAUAUACUUAAAGUUGUAUAUAUUUACAGUGUUAUCUAGUACAAUAAUUUUUGUAUGUUAUAAAUAUUUAUAUGGUAAGCAUUUGAUAAAUAAUUUAUGAAAAAUAAUUUUCAUAACAUUAUUUUUUUACAACUUAAAAUAAUAUUUAUAGUUUAAAUAAAUUGUUAUCUAACAGUAAAAGAAUUUGUUUAAAAUUCAAAUUGAAUGUAUGUUAAAUAUUUAAUAACAAGGAAAUUUUGAGAUUAUGAGCAAUUUAAUAAAAACAUCUAAUAAUUAGAUAGGAAAUAAAUACAUUUAAUGAAGGUAUUUGUCAGAAAAAAAAAAUUAUUUUCCUUGCAAAUAUUUUAUCAUUUAGAUAAAAGUUAAACUUUACUUUUUGUCUUAGGUAAAAAUGUCUUAUAAUAACACUCCAAUACAAAAAACAAAUAAGGUAUAUAUUAAAACAUCUUAAAUUAAGGUAAAUUAAAACUUCAGAUAUAAAAACAAACAACCCUUGGUUUUGAAUUUUGAGAAGAAAUUUUGAACAAUUUCUCUUUUGCGUCUGUUUGGUAUGACUUAUUUAAUGACCAUAAGUACUUAUUUAAUCUCAUGAGUUAUUUUUCUUUUUCUUUUUCUUAUGUUGUUUGGUUGUUUUUUAAGUAAAACUUUUGAAUAUUAAAUAAAUUAUUUUGCCUUUAUUAGUAAAAGUUUAAAUUUUCGGCUCUUAGGAGUCGAUGUUGAAAUUUUUUUAAAAUAUUAAAAUAUCUAAAAUAUUAUUUCUUUAUUUCAUAUUCUUAUUGUAUUUAUUCAUAACAUAACUUUAAAUGACUUGUCUACUAAUAUAAUUUUAUCAUUUUCAAUAAAAGUUUCAAUUGAUAAUUAAAUAACCAAAUUUUUUUAGUAAAAAUUCUGCUUGUAAAAAACUUACUAAUAAUUUUUUUUAAAAAAAAUUAUAUCAAACAGAAAGUUUAUGUUCCACGUGACGUUACGAGAUAACGUUAUUUAUAAUUAUAAUUUAUAUGUAAUUAAAAAAAAUUAUAUCAAACAGAAAGUUUAUGUUCCACGUGACGUUACGAGAUAACGUUAUUUAUAAUUAUAAUUUAUAUGUAAUUCGUUUGAAUAAUAUUUAAAACUUAGGAAAGAGAUAUGACAGGACGCCGAUUAAACGAGGGAGUUGACGAGUUGUAUGAAUGAAAUUGAAGUUGAAAACCAGCCGCACAGUUUUCAUCGGAGACACGAACUGUUAAGUCUGUUGUUACCUUUGCUUUUCGCUUUGUUGUGUUACUUAGUGGUGCAUAGAAUUAGAAGAAUAGAGAGAUAAUAAUUUAAUAAAGAAUGCUGCUCCUCUCUGCGACCGCAGUCACUCCCAAAACUCCACUCUCUAAAGAUCACACAUGCUGUCUCCUCUUUUGCCCCAAUUAUCAUCCCAAAUUCUGCGCCUCACUCAACCCCAAGCCACUCACCACCUCCCCUAAAUCUCUCUCCAGCAACGGCACCUCCCUCCGUCACGUGACUCGCACGCUCUCCAACGAUGACGAGCCUCCUGCUGCUGGGUCCCCCAUGGUCUCCUCAGCUUCCGCCGUCGCUUCCGCUAUCCGUAGAACCUCGACAUCUCCCAUCGAGUUCCUCCAGACGAUCGAGACUGAUCAGAAAAGAUGCAACUUAGUCCUCCCCAGUCCCGAUUUUCAGCGACUCUGCGUCGAGCAACUUCACCUCUUUCGAAGAAUCGUCGAUCCCGACGCCGUCCUCUCGGUCCGCUUCCUCUCUCAUUCAUUCGCCUCUUUCUUUUUUAUCCUUUUUUGUUUUGUUUUGUUUUGUUUCCUUCAUUCAAUUUCCAAUUUUCCUUCUUUACAGGUUUAUGUGAGACCGGCUGGCAGUUAUGUAAUGGACAGGUUAGAGCUGCGUAGAGUGGUUAGCUAUCCUGGUGUGAACGCAACGGACAUUGUUGUAUUAGUUGGCAAUUUCAACAUGCCCGCUGGAUUACGUGCUGCUGAAGCUGCACUUUCUAGCCAACAAGUUGGACUUACUACUAGUUAUUAGUUAUAACUAACUUUGUCAAAUUCAAUAAGAUUUUGUUAAUCUUUAUUUUAAUUGUUGAAUUUGAAUUUUAGGUUCAAGUCGUGCCUGAGCAGAGAGCGGUGGUGUUCCCUAUGGUGAAGCACCCAUUUGUUGUGGGGUUCUUGGUUGCGGAGCUGCCACUGAUGGAAUUGCAAAUGUGCGGGACUGAAGAGCCCGAUGCUGCUAUUGGGUUUCAGUCAUCAGAGGAAGUCUAUGCGUUCCCUCCCAGCUUCGAUACAGAAUCUCAUGCAAUUGAGAGUUUUGAUCAUGAGAGAAUGAGAGUGUACAAGUUUAGUGCUGACCAGAGACUGAAUGCCAUUAAUAUAUGUAGGUCUCUUGCCAUGGCCUAUGUAAUGGAUCAGGUAUAUGGGUUGGGUUGCUAUUAGAAUGAGCAUAUCUUCAAUCUCUCAUAUAUGCUACUUGAAACUUGAUGCAUUUAGCUUAGUUCUUGCUAUGAUGCGUGCCGCCCUGGCAGUCUUAGCAUAUGAUAUUUGAACUUCCUCAUGCUUGUAGCUAAUUUGCACACUACUAAGCCUAUCAACCAUAUUGAAAUGCAAUUUUGACUGUAUCAGUUCAUUUACAAUUUGCUUGCUAUUUUCUCCCCAGAAAUCGAUGUUACUUCAACAAUCUUCAUGGCAAAAUAAUGCCAGGAUGAGUAAUCUGGUUGAGCAGGUAAGCUGAUUCUCAAACUGUUGUGCACCUAUUUAUUUAUUUAUUUAUUUUUGGUUUUUGGUGUUUUUUUUUUUUUUUUUGGUGUGGGGGUUGGGGGGGAGAAGGUUGUAUUUGUUUAGUAAACUUAUUCUCCUGUAAUUAAACUUUUCUCAGAUUCGCGGUCCACUGUCCAGCAUUCAGACUUUAAGUAAAAUGUUAUCCCUUCAUAUGAAGAGAAGCGAGGUUUGCGCACUUAAGUGACCUGGGAUUCCCCUUCUAAUUUUCUUUUUCUGUUUGAAAAGUUUAAGUAUAAAAUAGUUCUUGCAGAUAUCUUAUGACAUUGUUGAAGAUAUUAUGGUCCAAGGUGAUCGUUUGAGAGGUACCCUUCAAGAGCUCCAGGAUGCUGUUUUUUUGACAAAGGUAUUAGAACUGCACACACAGACUUCUAAAUACAGUCCUUCACUUUGACUUCUUUUUCAGCAUUCUACUCAGAUUUGUUUUUUGCUGUCAUGAAAUGAUAUUAUAAUCUUUUCUUUUUUUUUUUCUCAUUUACUUUUCCUGUUGUUUGGGCGUAGCCGCAUAGAUCUCUACUUUACCAGGCUUUUUCUUUUCCGUUUAUUACAUACAAUACAAGCUUCUUAUGAGAUUAUUUAUGAAGUUGGAAUUUGAAAGCUAACUUUAAACAACUUCCCUUUGUAACAUUGAUUUUUUGCUACCAUUUGGGUUGAAGAUUGUACAUCUGAUAUUGUUUUUUAUACUUAUUAGGCUAAUAUUGUGCGCUAUAAUGAAGAAACACUGAAGAAAAUGAACAAUUCAGCGUAUUCCCAUCCAGAGUCAAUCAGGUCUCAAUUAUCUAAUAACUUUUCAAGAGAGAAUUCUGGCAAUAAGUUGCAAAAUUCCUGCAAACCAUUAUCACUGGAUACACCUGCCAAGGAUUUAGAAAUGCCCAUGCCACCUCUGGCCCUUGCUCCUUUGAAACAAAAUGGAAUUAGGUAUGCUUUAACUUUUCUUGAUAUUUUCAAUUUCAUUGCCUAGCGUAAUUCGAUUUCAAGGUAUGCAAAAUAAUUUAACAGUGUUCAUUUGAUUCACCUCAUCUCAAAUUUGGAAAUUUCUCGUUCGCUUAUUCUCUUCAUUCAUGUCAGGAAGACCGUGCAAUGUUUCUGAUGUGUUGGGAGAUUUGGUUGAGGCUGUGAGGCCUCUUGCCCACAUGCAGCAACGACAGGUGGAACUAAGCGAACUUUCGCAAUCUUUGCUAGUUGCAGUAGAAGAACCUGCUCUACGUCAGGCUCUGAGCAAUUUGAUUGAGGGUGCACUGUUGCGUACCCAAGUUGGGGGUAAGGUUGAAAUUGUGUCUGCUGCAGCUCCAGCUGGUGGUGCUUUAGUAGUAAUUGAUGAUGAUGGACCAGACAUGCACUAUAUGGUAAUAAUAGCGAACUUUGCUGCUAAUUCCCCUCCCCACCUCACCCCAAUAUUGGAUUAGAAGUUGAGAACUCUGUUGUUGCAUGCUUUGAACAUAUUUCUCCUUUGUCCUUGGAAGCUGUGAAUUGUGUGUCCCUUUUUAAUACUCGACAGUCAAAAGAAUAUCAUGUCAUGGUCUGAGGAACUCAAAACUUAUGGUAUAAUGUUACGCUGUUGCAAGAGAUUCGGGAAUCAUAAAAGAUUCUAGCAUCUAAUCCACUUUUUUAGACAUGGGAUUCUGAGUUAAGAGUACCUUGCUUAUUAAAUAUCCAGGCAGACAUUGCUAUAACCCCCAUUGCCUUUAUCAUAUCCAGUUUGUCGUGUUAUGAAUUUAUUUUGUUGUUGGACAUGUAUGCUGCAGACGCAGAUGCACUCACUCACUCCAUUUGGAUCAGAACUGUCCUCGGAAAACAUGGUUGAAGACAAUAUGACGUGGAACUUUGUUGCUGGGUUGACAGUAGCUCGGGAGCUACUUGAGAGCUAUGGCUGUGUUGUCCGUGUGAUAUCACCAUGGAAGACAGAUGCUGCCCUUGGAUCUGGGGGAACUCAUGUAGAACUCUGGCUUCCUUCUCUGGCUCCACUAUCUGAUCUUAAUGGCAAAUCAAAUGAGACUUAGCUAAAAAUGGAACUGCAUUCAGAUUUUUCCAUUCAACAGAAAAAAUCCUGACAAAAGCAGGUUGGUAGAUUAUUGUCUGAAAUUCAAUGAGAUUCUGUACAGAUUGCUUGUAUUUUAGCUGCUGUAAAGGCAAGGUGUAGGUAAUGAAGGGUUAGGAUUUUUAAAGCAUUAAAGCCCUGUGAGUAGAUGAGUUGCCGUUGCAGCUGGAUCAUACUUGUAGAUAAAAGAAGGUUGAGGAAAGAAGAUGUAGCAUUUGAACAAUUAUUGUUGUCUUUGGGCUUUGUUCAGGUUUUGGACAACUUGAACGGGCCACGAGGCUGGCCUGUUAGAUACUGGGCUUUCAGUUUAGUAUUUGUUGCCGUGCUAUUGCGUGGACCGAAUGGACUGGUUCACAUUCCAUGUUUCACGCAAAUAAUUAAAAGUCGGUUAAAACCGAGAGAGAAGAGGGAGCUGGUUUCUUGCCUUAAGUUUCGGCAAUGAUAGAAUUAGUUACUUGUUCAGAGAAACCGAGGGCAAAUUAAACACAAGGUCGUAAAUAAUUUGUGAACGACUAUGACUUAAAUUGUUCCAUGCAAUAGUUUAAUUAAACUCAAUUAAUUGUGUCUUACGUCAAAAAAAGAUAUUUUAAUCCGCAAAAAAAAAAAUUAUUUAUUGAAAUUCAGGACGAGUUAUGUAUAUUGGAUUCUACUCUUUAACAUUUUUUUUUUUUGUAUGGAAUAAGAUAGAGAAUGACAUGUUGUUUAUUUUUAAUGGGAUGGAAAUAAAAAUCAUAAUGUACAUACGAAGAAUAAUUGAAAAUAUGAGUCAUCAACGUCAGGGUCAAGUCAAGAGACCUACGUAAGAAGGAGAACAUGGUGCAGCCCGACCCACCGCCUCGGUGUUUAGUAGCCAAACAAAACAGUGGACCUGUCUACGUUACAGAUUCUGUAACAAACAUCUCCCGUCAUCCCACCAUCCGAUUUUCUUUUGUUUAGUUUCUCACUCCACAUCCAAUCACAUCCAACGGCUGAUGCUGCAGUCUGUACCUUACAGAAUCUGUAACGUAGUUUUGUCCCAAAACAGUGGGACGCGUCAAAGACUUGAUUUGAUUUGAUGAAGGAAUCCAUACGUAAUUCCUCCAAAAGUCAACCACACACAACCAAACCAACAACAACCGACUACAUCAGUAUUCCGAAAUCUUAAGCAUGAGUUAGGUGCCACGUGUCUCGUCGGGUCGGGGCAACAAAAGUAUUUUUAGGAAAUAAUAAUUAAACAAACAACAAUUCUAGUUGUUCCAAGAAAAAAUAAUUACUAUCAACUUGUAAUGUCAAUUCUAGUGCCAUUGAUUGCAUGCCCCGUCUUGUAGGUUACCAGAAUGGCCGCCAUUUAAUAGCCAAUAGAACAACCCCAAGCAAGAUUGAGGGCGGCUUCAUCUCCUCUCUUGUUAACGUUUCAAAAGGUUCGACGCUGUUACGUACUCAUGUCAUCGUGAUCACCACUCAGCCGUCAAAGUCCACCCUCUUUGAAUUCUCUCUCUCUCUCUCUCUUUUUUAAAGAUUUUAUUUAACAAUAUUUUCUUUGACGUGCAAUGCGACAAGCCACGUUGGAAUUUUAUAAUUAGGAAAUGUACUCACAAAAAAAAAAAAAAAAAAAAAAGGUGAAAGUAUGACAUAUGCUCUAUUGCAAGAAAAAUGCUAAAUAUUAUCAGCGUAAUCACAUUGAAAAUGUAAAAUGCACACCAUCAUAAUUGGCGGGUGACUAUUUAUACUACUUAACUAUUAAGUCAAUAUCGUCCCAUAUUUUCUUAAGUCAUUGAUCGGGGGGUCUUUUUCUCUUUAACACAUCGACAUCAUGGCGUCGGAAUUUUUGGAUUGAAUUUUGUUCACCUUAUAGAAAGAGAUCUAUCUACUGCUUUUUAUUCCUGGUCAUUUGGUUAAGAAAAUGUUGCCAUGAGUGAAGGCAAACCGAGUUACAAAUUUUACAAAGCGUGCACGGAUUGAAUUUAAUUUGCUGGACCAAUCUCAAAUUUUUUGUACUGCCAAAUUGAUAAAGCAAUUUGGGUCCAUUCUUCCUUCAAUAGACCAUAUACACAGCCAACCGGAUUUGAAGUUGAACAGCUACUCUGUCAUGGUCACCGGCCCCCUUUGUAGAUCUACAUAGCUAUUAAGCUAGCUGCUUUUAGCCAUUCGUUUUUCACUUUUCAAGGACUUGCUUAAUUAAUUAUGUCUUUCUUUUUUUUUCCUUUUUAUUUUUCGGAAGCUAAUUAAUUAUAUUUGAAAAUGCGUUUGUUGUCAAAAAUUUCACUAAACCAUGUUUAUCUUUACAAAUUUAAUUUAAUUUUAUUUUAUUUGAAGUUUGAGGCCUUUCCCACUUCUCCAUAUGGAAUGGAGAGUGCCACAAUCCAAAUUACAACGCAAAUCAAACACUAAUUGAAAAUUCGACGCUAAAGUAAUUCACGAUAUAAAAACGCACGCACGCAGGCAGAUGUCAAGUCAUAUCAGCGGUUAUUUCCUUCGAGCAUCACAAAGUGGCCGCAGCAAUAUGCAUCUGCCAAGUGUUAUCACCAAAUCAAAUCAAUCCAAUUACAAAUUAGAAAAAUUACAAAACAAUGGAACAAAAACCCAGUUACCAAGGCAAAAAGCCUUUUUGUGAGUUGUACUUUACCUUUCUCUUGCAGUGAAAAUUAUAAAUAAAAACAAAUUCUGAUUAUUCUUUUUCUAUUUUUCAAAAAUUCUCUCGCGAAAAUCUAUAGCAUUCUCAACAAAACACAAACACCUAACUUUGAUAUAUCCCUCAAAAUCAGGGGAAAAAAAAAAAAAUCAUUCAGAUACAUUUCCAAAUUCGCUCGAUCUCAUUAUUGUUUGCCCAACUUUGACUUGAAAAAUACAAAUAGCUAUAAAAUCUUCACCUUUGCUCACGUUUAAUAGAGAACAGGGGCGAUCAGGGCAAGUGGGUUUCUUGUGAUUUUUAAGUUUGAUCGUUUUCUGCUCACCAGAUCUUGUCACACUUGUUGCACGGUUUUUUCGUUUUGCAGGUAUUUACAUGUUCACUCUCUUUUUAUUUUUCUGCUUUUUAAGUAAUUCUACAACUAAAAAUCAGUUCAAAAGCUGGUAGCUUUAUUGAUCGGCAUCGCUCGUAUGCUGCUAAAGUUUCUUUUUUUUUUUCUUAAUUGGUUUUUUUUUUUCCGGUUCUUAUGUUAACUGUGUUUUUUUUGGGGCGAAAAAAAUAUAUUAUUAUUCUCUUUUAAAAAAAAAAAAUCUUCAGAAGUAACUUAAUACUUAGGUUUAUGUUUGUGGUCGUGUAAUUCUUUGUGUCUUUGAAUGUAAGCAAAGGUCAGUUGUUUGUCUAAUCUGGGUAUUUGGGCUUUUGUUGAUUUAAAUAAAAGUUUUGAUUUUUAGUGAAAAAUGGGAACAUGGUAAGUUGAGGGUUUGAACGGGAUUUUUGGUAUGAUUGUUUAUUCAAUCAAAUGGAACAUUUUUUAUGAUUCGAUGAAUUUAGUUUCUUGUAGAGGAUUAUGUGUCGGAAGCACAUGCUUGCUUGGUUCAUUUCGUGUUUUCAGGAAUAGCUGCAAAUUUAUUGAUUUCGUUUCAAAAUCUUUGUUCUUGCAUGUGUGUAUAUAUUUGACAAUGGGGAUGUGAGAUUGUGAUUAUGCCACAGAGUUAAUACAUUACCGCAUAGGAUUACCUUGUGAAGACAUUGAAAAGGGGGAAGUUCUCGAUUUCUUUCUUUUAUCAUCUUAGAUUGUGGCUAGUAGAGUAGUAACAUUGUUUUGUCAAUAGUGAGCACCAUUUUCCGGUUUCAUGUUGUUGCAAUAGAUGUUUCUCUGGAUUUGUGAGUUAAUGUUUCUUAAUAGACCUCUUUUCUUGUAACAAUGUAUUGAAUACAGCAGGUCCUGUUUUGCUUCCACAAGGAUCUGUGUCUGUUUUAUGGACUGUCAAAGCAAUGCUCAGAAGUUGUGAAAAUCAGAAGAUUUUAAAUAAAAUGGGAACUGCUGCUCGCAGGUUCUGAACUUGUGAUUCCUUUCAUACAAUAGUGAACCCUAUUUUAUAUUUUUAUUUUUGACUCGUUUUAGAUUUGAUAACACUAUAUAAUUUCUGUUUGCUGCAGUUCGAUUAAUAGAAAAACAAAUGAGAGUAUGAGGCUGAUAGUAACAACAUUCGUUGGAGUGGUUUUUGGGUUUUUCAUAGGAGUAUCUUUUCCAACACUGUCACUAACUAAGGUACCUAAAGUUGAUUUUUAUUUGAUAUUUGCACUUUUGUUUUUAUUCAGAGAUAUGCUUAUAAGAAUGCCCUUGAUUAUAUUUGUACUUUUUAUUUUUAACUAGAUGAUGGAACAUUCACACUGUUUCUCAAUUCUGGCAGUUGACUCUCCCAUCCAGCCUUCUUCCUACCGUGGAAUAUGUUGAGGACCAAAGAUCAGGUCUUUCAACCCAAAGAUUUUUGAAUGUCUUUAAUCCUUUGAACCGUAAUAAUGGCAGCUCAACUCGAGCUCAAGUUUUGAAUGAUACAUCAAAGGUAAUGCCACCUAUCCAUGGUUUUUUUAAUCUAGAACAACAGAUUUUACAUGGCUAAAUUGUUUAAUUGGGGAGCUUAUUGCCAGUAUGGUUACUUCAAAAUUUUGUUUUGUGACCAGUUUCUUAAUUUCUUGACUAUUAAAGAGUUUAUUGUAAUUAUUGUCAAUAAACACACAUUGGAGAUCCCUGCUCUGUUUUCCAAAUAGAUAGUUUCUUCAGGUUGGAAAGGGCUUUAAACACUGCUUGCUAUGGUGGUUUGCAGCUUCACAAAUAUGAUAAAAGUAGGAAAGAUUGAAAAAGCAUAUAAUAGACAAAUAGACAAUUAAGCGGUUGUGAAAAGGGAUUUACUGAAUAAGUUUAAGAGACCCAGCUUUCAGUCUUGUUCCUGCAUCUCAGUCUUCAGACAAUUGUAGACCUUAGGAGGUCAAGAUUAGGGAAUCAGAUAUGCUAAUAAUAUUUUUUUGAAGCUUGUAUGUAAAUUUUGUUGGCAGUCCCAUCGUCAAAUUGGUUCUUGUUUUCUCCUAUUUCUUGCCAAGGUUUUCUCUGCCUUUCCAAAGGAGGUUGAUUGCUGGGUUCUUCUUGAUUUUUCUAUUAUUUGGUACAAAAAUUCUACAUAAUUGAUCAGAGCAGUAUUAUAAGUGGCUGAAAUGGAUGAAAAAAAUCUGGACAUGCCUGUAUUGGUAAUUACUGAGUAAAGAAAUUGUACUUUGAUCUUACCUGUAGUUGUUGAUAAGGUGGCUCCUUUUAGGUACUCUAUAUUACUGAGCUUAAAUGCAUGAGCUAUGUGGUACUUAAGUUAGGCCAUCAUUUAUUUGUUUCAUUGUUGGCAUAAGUGUGGAUAAUCUUAAAAGUCCUGUUUCGAGUGUUCUAUACUUAGUUUCCACAUCCAUACCUUUUUGGUAUGCUCUCUUUGCAUCAGAGUUGAUAAUAUUGUUCUUAUUUAAUAUUCGUGUCCAACGCUGAUUACAAACUCUUAAGAAUUUGUUGUUCCUUGUCAAUUUAUUUGAGCUUGCAUUUUGUGUUUCCUUUUUUAUUCUGGCACAGAUUUGGGUUCCUACAAAUCCUCGAGGUGCAGAAAGACUACCACCAAAGAUUGUUAGAGCUGAAUCAGAUUUUUACUUGCGCAGAUUGUGGGGUAAUCCUAAUGAGGUGUGUAUCUGACCACUUUCAUGAGCAAUAUAAUGUUGCAUUGUUUUUUCUAGUCCUGGGUGAAUGCUUUAAUGAAGACACCAUUGGCAACCUCUUGGUAUUUCUAAAUUGUUAUUGUUUGCUGGCAACAACAUAUCUGAUGAAGUCUGCUACUGCAGGACUUGACCAGCCAACCAAAGUAUCUUGUCACCUUCACUGUUGGUUAUGACCAGAAAAAUAAUAUUAAUGCAGCAAUUAAGAAGGUUGGUUUCUGCUUUCCUCCCACCAUUUUCUUUCUUUGUGUGCAUCUUUGUGUCACUAAUAUCUGUUCCAAACAGUUUUCAGACAACUUUACAAUUGUUCUCUUUCAUUAUGAUGGCCGCACAACUGAAUGGAAUGAGUUUGAGUGGUCGAAACGGGCUAUCCAUGUGAGUGUUCGGAAGCAAACUAAAUGGUAACUAUCUAUUAUUAUCUUCUAUUUCAUUUUAAAUCAUGAAUAUUAUAUCUACUUUUGCUGGUAAGCUUGAAUAUAACAUAUUUAUUAUCUGUUAGUUCAAUCUUAUGUUUUUGCAUUUGUCCUAGGUGGUAUGCGAAGCGGUUUUUGCAUCCUGACAUUGUGGCAUCAUAUGACUACAUAUUUAUCUGGGAUGAAGACCUUGGCGUUGAGCAUUUCAAUGCCGAAGAGUGAGUGAUAAACCCGUAGCUUUAAUUGAUUGUCCUGUUUCAGUAUAUUCAUUUCGUGACACACCUUUUGUUUAAUUUCAGAUACAUAAAACUAGUGCGGAAGCAUGGUUUGGAGAUUUCGCAACCUGGUUUGGAACCAAACAAAGGAUUAACAUGGCAGAUGACAAAAAGAAGAGGUGAUCGUGAAGUUCACAAGUAAGAAUUGUGGGAUUAUUACCAAAAUUCAUCUAGUCUGGUUUAUUGAAUGAUUUAAGUAACAAUUUUUCUUUGUUUGCUGAAUUCAUUAGAGAAACUGAGGAGAAACCAGGCUGGUGCUCUAACCCACAUCUACCUCCCUGUGCCGCGUAUGAUAAGCUUUGAUAUUAUUUUUGGAUAUGCAUUGAUUAGUUCGCUGACAUCUUAUAACUGGAUGAGUUAUUGCACGCAGAUUUGUAGAGAUCAUGGCACCUGUGUUUUCGCGAGACGCUUGGCGUUGUGUUUGGCAUAUGAUUCAGGUAUAAAGGAUUUUGCUUAUUCAUUUAAAGCCUUAACUGGUCCUCAAUUAUUUUCCCAUCCCAUUGCUUAGUUAUUAUUAUUUUUUCGUGGUGAUUUCAGAAUGACUUGGUCCAUGGGUGGGGCCUUGAUUUUGCCCUCAGAAAAUGUGUAGAGGUUAGUGACCUGUCUCAUCUGUCUUUGAUUAUCACUCUCUCUGUGAUCAUUUGCUAUUGCUGAAAUGCUUAACGUGAAUCUCUUGAAAAACAGCCUGCCCAUGAGAAGAUAGGUGUGGUAGAUUCUCAAUGGAUUGUUCAUCAAACUGUUCCCUCCCUUGGGAACCAGGUAAUUGGAAUAAAUAAUUGGCUACCAAUAAGUCCAUCUAUGUCAUUUUAAAAUUUGUGUAUGCUGGAAUGAAAUACUUACACCACUUAUUUUUUCUGUAGGGAGAGUCGAAAGAUGGGAAAGCACCAUGGCAAGGAGUAUGUGAAAUCCUUUCUUAAAUAAUUUUUUUAUUAUUGCACGCACGCCGACGCUUACAAUGAACUAAUUUUCUUCUAUGCCAAUGCCAGGUAAGGGAGAGAUGUAAAAAGGAAUGGACCAUGUUUCAGGGUCGGAUGGCAAAUGCUGAAAAAGCAUAUUUUCAGGCACUGGGAGCUGAUACUACGGAUUCCUCAGCUCAUUAGGGAACAUCAAUGUAAAGAGGCUGACCGUACACAAUGACCGCCAUUCAGUACAGUGCUUUAGGGUUUUACGUAUAUUGGCAGAAUCCAAUUUCUCAAUGUAAUAAUUUUUUUUUUAAUUAACAAUUAUUAGAUUUAUGGUAUGAAAAGAAAAUGAUCACCCAGUUUUCCACCUCAAGUUCUGCUGAGAUUUCAGUCAUUCUGUUCAUAUCAUUCCUUCAUUUCAAUGUUGAAUGCUCUAUCCUUGCUUCCCUUGAAUUAUCUUUCGCACACCUUGUCUCUUCCAAUGCUAGACAAGAUACGUGACGCGUUUCUUGACACAAACGGAAACAGAAAAGGUCCAGGCAUUCACAUGCCUUCGUGAACGGGACCAGAAUUUUGUCUCUCUGCACACCGUCAACAAGCUCCACAUAUUUAUCAAGAAAGUUCCUGGCGCCAUAGGUGCCUCCGUGGAUGUAAUUUUGCCCACACGUUUGGGGUGGAGGAGUUGUUUACCGCGCCAUAAUUUCAGAUGAUAGGGAAAAAGUUCUCAGAUUUUGAAAAGAUCGACCGACUCGUAAAAGCUUCUUCCCAUGAUUCCUUACCACAAUGACAAUCCGGCCAAUGUUAACGUUAAAGCGGACAAAAACGGUAAUUUUGUCUUCGUGCUUGUUAAAGAUACCUCUUGCUGUCGUGUUCUCGCUUUUGUUGAAAGCUACAGGUUAAACGUUAAUUUUGUGAUGUGUUGUUGCCAUGUUGAUUUUCAAGCCCGCGUUCACGUUUCUUCGUUAUUCCUUUUGACUUUUAUGUAUUGGGCGUGUAAUUAAAAUGAUGCCUUGUACAUUUUCCUUGCACGGUGUUCUACACGCUUACAAGAAAACUAGUCAAAUAAUAUGACCCGCAGAGAGAUGUCAAUGCGCACAAAACCAUAAGAGAAAGGCACGCCCGACUCUCAGGGUCUGCUCUAAGUGAAUAUGAUGAUGAUGUCUUCUUUUUUCCCCUUUUCCGCCUCCAACGUUAAGAGUUUAUUAAAUUGUGGGAAUCUAGCUGCUUAUUAGGCAAAACCCUCAAACUAUCAGUGUCAUUUCUUUGAUCAAAAUGGUCUUGCUGCUUCGAUGGGUUAGAUGUUAGAUUUGAACCGUUUGAUUUCAUCCUCAGAGGGGACCACCCAUCUUAGACGGCAGCACAUUGAAUUAACAGGUUCAAAACAGGGACAGCAAAAAGCGAAGGCUUCACAAAAAUCAUACGAGGCUCCGGGAAUCAAAAGAUUCAAGAAACUUCUUGACAAGGCGCAAAGCUGGAAGGUCACUGCCACAAGGCAUCGCCUCAUUAGCUCUCAGAAAGUAUUAGUGCCUUAGAGACACGUGGUUCGUGGAAGUUACCCUUCAUGUUCCCGUGAAAAGGCAGCACAACCGCCCAAUUUUAUUUUCUUUCACUCUUGUUGAAUGUUUGAUUAUCAUCACUAUUCGGUCAUCGAAUCACAAAUCUUUCACAAAAUUUUACACGUGUCGCCACGUAUAUAACCGACUGGCCCCACCAUGGUUAAGAUAUUUAACCAGGGUUAAGCACUCUAGUGGUUAGGAUGAGCCCGUCUGCCCGUGUUAUAUAUAUCAUCCUUCGAAAGCCCAAGUUGGGUUUAUGUUGUUGAAACUGUUAUGUGGAAGUGGAAGCAAAUUGCUUGCUUCUUUGUCUUCUCACUGUUGUUGUCUCUAGCCAGAGCCAAAAGCCAAUUCUUCUUCUAAAACUCUUAGCAAGAAUAGUUAUUGCGCCAAGUUUUAGAAGAAAAAAGUGUUUUGCUUUCUGGCUUCUUGAAAACAAAGAAGAUAAAUUUUGAAUUUUAUAACAUGGGUCUCUCAAAUUUCCCUAGUGCAGCUGAGGGGUUGCUACCGGGACUGGUAAUGAACACAGUUUUGUCUGUGGCUUUGCUGAAGAACAUGGUGAGAUCUUUGCUUCAAGGGAUGGGAGCUGCUAGUGAUUCUUCUUCUUCAAAUGUCGAGGAUGAAUCAGAUGGAUUCAUUAGUUCUAACUCAGAAGAUGAUAAUGCAAGAGAGAGGAGAAUAUCAGUAACCCAGUUCAAGUCUUUGUGUGACAGCAGGUCCAGUUCUAGUAGUACUGUUGCAAGAAGUAAUGGUGGCAGCACCUCCUGUUCAGCUGCAAUGGAAUGUUGUGUGUGUUUAAGUAGAUUCCAAUCUGAUGAGGAGGUGAGUGAGUUGUCUUGCAAGCAUUUCUUCCACAGAGGUUGUUUGGACAAAUGGUUCGACAACAAGCAUAGUACUUGCCCUCUUUGUCGAUCUAGUCUCUAGAUUGGAGAAGCUUUUGGUUACUUAGUGGGUGGGUUCAGCUUUUUUAAUGCAGGUUUUCACUUUUUAGAAGAUACAAUACUAGUCCUUCUAUAUUUUUGGUUGUACUUUUCUUUGUCUCUUUUUCUCCCUUCAGGCUUCAGGUUUGAUUUUUGCUCAAAAUUAGGGAAAUGUUAUGUGACAAGCUAGCUUUUGCAUUGCUAUGUUUCUGUACGUUAACAUUAUUGUGUAUUAUUGGUACAAGAUGAAGGGAUUGAAGCAGUUUUAAAAAUUCUUAGUCUUGAGUUCCUUCUUCUAUUAGCAAGUUUAAUCCUUGAGAGAAAAACAUGCUAUUGGGUAAUAGUAUUUGGAAAUAGCAAUGAUAUGGUAUUGAAAGAUUCUUAAAAAGCUGCCAUUUUUGGGUGGCUUUUUAAGGCUGUUGAUGGGCCCGUACCUUUUUUUCUUUACCCCCCUUUCUUUUUUGUUUUGCGUAAAGAUGGAAACCUCGUUUUGAUGAAGUCUCCAUUUGUCAAAAAUAAUCUUCUGGAAACAUUAUCUGGAAUCAUGCUGCCAAACUUUGUCAAUUGUCACUCUUAUGCAAAAGGCCAGCUAUUCACUCAUGUUCUGGUUCUCAUUUCUUAGCAGAAAUGAUCAAUUGGGAAUGAAUAACACACAAACCAUCCACAACAAACUAGCUUAAAGGUUAGACCUUUUUCGAAGAACCUGACUCGGGCUUGAAAAAUAAUCCACAACAAACUAGAAGCUGGAGGAUCAAUAAGAGGUCCAAGUUCUUGGUUUAAUUAAAUGUUCUACCAAUAUUGGAUGCUAAUAAAUAUAACUAGGUAGGUAUAGACUGAAGAUCUUAGACCACAAACUGGGCCCUAAACCUUCUCAUAGGAUUAGGCGAUUAGCAUCAGCCAUUCAGCUGGCAUUUUGGAUCUGAAAAAUCUUAUUCUGAAAACUCCGCGGAUCAAACCAGUAAAAUAAAAAGAUCUUUAACCGAAAGCCUGUCGAGCUUUGAGCCUUUUACCAGAAAAGAAAAGUUUUUCAGGACACGAUAACGAUCGGUCAUUUGGCACUUUAUUGAAUCAAAAUAAGUACAAAUCAUGCAACUGGUUGCAUAAGCUAAUUUUCUUUUUCUGUUUUUGUUCAAUGGGGUGGCCUAGUUCCAUAAUCUGCACAAAUAAAGCUUCAAUCCACUGUUGUGUUAUCAGGGACUUCUAUGGUUUAUUUAGUAAUUCUGUUGAUGGUUCAACAUGUUCUCAAUAAUCAUUCAGUUUCAAACUAUAUUUGAUAUAUGUGACAGAAGAAACGGGAAGUGAGGGUUGGGAGAGAACACAGAUAGAAUACAAACACUAUGUGGAUAUAAUUACUUGAAAGAAAUUAUUGGCUAGUACAUAUCGAACUUAAAAUGCAAAGAGCAACCGUAACACAAGCCGCUCUAACGCUUUAUCGGGCAUGGAAAUUGGUAUCAGUGUACAAAAUAACCACGAUUUAUUGUAUAUAAUCAGUGAUGGGCAACUCAAUAAUAUGGUCCAGACAUCUCAGACCUCUGCUUGCUUAAUAGAAACUUCUUGUGCCCAUGCUGAAUAAAUUCCUCAGCCUCUGCAUCCACGGUUUCUUCUAUCUUCUUCUUGUUGACCUUAGCAUGCACAGGAAUGCGAGCAGGUUCGUAAUUUACUACACGAAUCCUCCUCGGUUCCUCAGGAGCAUACCCCAUAUAGUCGUUGAACGUUGGAUUACUAUAUUGAUAAUGUUGGCCUUCAGGGAAUGGCAUCGGCUCCAGAGUGGUAGCAUAAACUGGGUAACCAUCUGACAUGGAACCAUAAACUAGGUAACCGUUUGAUGAAUCAAAGCUUUGAUAUCGCCUGGCGUGAUGGUGCUCGUGUCGAUGAUGCUCGGGUCGAUGAUGCUCAGGGCUUCCAUUUCCAUACAUCAUUUUUGGUCACUUUAAAUUUGUUUGCCUUCAGAUACGGGGUUUUGAAGUUGGGUUGUAUCUUCUGUUUUCCCAGCACAAUCAACGGCAUUUUAUAGUUUAACAUUAUGAUUCCUGGAUGAUAAAGUUGAAUCUAAUACCAUUUCUUUUGUCAUGAUCAAGGAUGAUUUCAGCCACUUUUAUGGACUACAAAAGAAACUGGAGAGGACAAAUUGGACUGAAAGAUCAACCAAGUUCUGAUAUUAUUGGGGAAUAAGGAAUUUUUAAAGCAAAUCUUUUCAUUAUUCGUAGCUUUAGUAUCCAAAAUAAAAUAUGGUAGUCUUUAUAAGAAAAAUGGUGAAGAAUCUAUCUUACAGACACAACUUGCAAAACAGAAGCAUUCCCUGCAUUGAAUCGUAUCCAGUCAUGUCAUCAACCCUUUUGAAGUCGAAUUCUUUUAACUGUAGGUGUUCCUAUUUCUGAGUUCAUUAGUUGGAUAGUUUGGCAGUAUAAGCAAGUUAGGUAGCUGUAUAAACAAGAUUAAUACGAAGAAAGACUGGGUAUAGACUUUUCUAUCAGCUGAUGCCCUCCUUUUCUGGCUUUAACAAUCAUUAGAUUCAAGUUGUUGUUUUCAAUUGCCCUAAGCAAAUUUCCCUCAUCUUGGCAAACAUUAAAAAUGGCAUGGGUGAUAACCUAAAACGAAGACCGUUUACAGACAUUUAUGUCAUGUUGAUAUGUUGUUAGUAUUGUUGAAUUGAACUUAAUAGAACUAGACUAGUUUAAUAUGCUUGAGUUACUUUCACAAAGCCUUUAUCAAUCUUAUUCAACUUUUAACACACUUUUAUCAAAACAUCCUAAUUUUUUUGGUGAAUUGCACCAUCCGUUUAAGAUCUUAAAGCAAGUAAAGAAAGGAGUAUCAAGAAAACUCUCAGCUCAGCCAGUCCCAAAGUUCUUAGUAACUAAAGGGCGUCUUAUUUGUAUUACUUGAUUCAGCAGGUGGCAGAAACGCCCUUUUAAAGUACAAAAGCAACAUAUAAUGACACAACAACCUUAAUUUUAGAACAUCAGCAGAAACAGAAACAUCAAAUGCAGCCUUAUUUUGAUGGAAGUUUGAAAUUUUCCAGUACAGUCUCUUCUUUACAGACUCUUCCACUCAACUUUCUGGUGGUCAUUGUGCAUCCUAUUGGCAAAGUCAUCAUAGCUCUCGCUUUGGACACCAUAGUUUUGCAUCCUUAUUCUCCCAGGAACUGCUUGGUAAGUCUCAUAUUCAGCAUUCACCAUCGUGCUGUUAGGCAUACGUCCAGGAGCCAUUGUAGGACAAGUCAUGCCAGGGUACCUGCCUUCUGAGGCAUAACUGCAGUAGCCAUUGGUGCUAGACCAGCCAUUUUGGUGCAUGUAUGGGCUAUCCCAAGCAUUAUGGUACUUAGGCUUGACAUUCCAGCCACCAUCUGGAUAUGCACCAUGUGUUCCAGAACUGUAUGUCAUAUGCUGCUUCGAGUAAUGAGGAGGCAUCAUGUGCAUGCUGGAAUAAUUGUUGCGGUAUUCAUUUUCCAUGUCAUAGCUGUCCUCGUGUAUGGCAUAGCCAUUAGGACCGUAACUGACGUUUCCAAGCAUGGUUGCUUGCUUCUUGCUUAGUACUUGAAAGCUCUAAGAUUUCUGUUUGCUAUGCAUAUUGCUGUGAAUUCAGGCGUUACUUAUAGCUAAGUUUAGAAUAAGACGAGAGAGCAUCUCAUGCCCACACUUGCGGCAUUGUUUAAAUUUGAUAUUUCAUUUCACUGUCUUCUUGUGUCUCAUUGCAAUACCAGUGGCACCGAAAGACUAAAGUGUCAUUUCAGAAUUUAUUCUCCAUUGACAAAAUAUGCAUGGCCCUGGAUAAUCCAGGUAAAAGCGAAUGGGGUACAUCUAUUUAUAAAAUGUCCACGCUGCAUUCACCGUAGCAAAGCAAAAAUUGAAUAACUGGAACAAAUUCAAAACCAAUUCAUCAAUUGAAAUUUGCCGAUCAACCCUAGCACCAACUGGUUGGUGCAGAUGGUGGGAGUCUCAGCUAUUUCCAGAUGUAAUUGAGAAGCCAAAUGGCCAUCCGAACUGUUUACAGUGCUAAGGAUCGUCCACGUCGAAGCCUUCACACAAACGAUAAGGAUCUAUGUAGCUAGUUUGGAUUUUGUUAACGCGCACAAAUGUUAAACCCCAUACAACCUCACAUCACAGGGAAUAAAAAUUAAAUCACAAAUUGCAGAUGUCUGAAACAUCUAAGAAGAAGUUUGUUAAUAAAAAAUAAAUCAUAAAUUGCAGAUGUCUGGAACAUCUAAGAAGAAUUCAACAAACUGAGGUUUGUUGAACUGAAAAAUUAAGGGCCUGUGAAAACGGGCGCGAAUUCCAUUACUGUGUGAAGGUAAAUGGCGUCGUGUAUGCAGCCCCCCUGCACUGCCUGUAAGGCAACUAACAGUUUAUGAGCGGUCCAGCAUGUAAGUUCUUUUGUGGCAAGAGUGGGGGAGUCAACAUUAUCAUCAAUAAAUGGUCUAUAAAACCAAUCAGACGAUGCACAUGUGGGAGUUAAAUGAAACACGUAUAAAUAAAUGUCUCAAAACAAAACUUCCCAUCGCAGGGAUAUCGCAAGAACCUCAAUCUACUUCUGAGUAUAUUGGGGAUAACAUGUCAUACAAUUGCUAAGUGGCAUAACCUGGUGAGGCUGCAAUCACCUAGCUGCUCCUAUUACAGUGAGAUCCCCCCUCAGUGAAUGGAUAUGCUUCCAACAUGAAUAAAAGCCAAAUCCAGAAGUUAUAUACAAAAAAAAAUCCACCCUAAAAGUUCCAUCUAAUUGUCCAGCUCUCCAAACAUUUCCCGAGGAAUUAAAUGAAUUCAUCUGGAAAUAUCUCAUGCCGUGUUAGUAAAACACCAGUGUCAUAAUAGUUCAAUGGAACUCUUCAUGAGGAGUCACACAAGCAGCACCUCCGACUAAUCUUUACAAGACAUGCAUCUAAAAUAACUGAAAAAAAUCACCCACUUUCUCGUAAGCAAUUUCCAGGCAAAAGAAAUUUAUACUUAUCCGCAUUCUCCAAAAGAUAAGAUGGCAGAUGAACUGCUGAAAAAGAAUGAGGAACUGGUCCCAUUUUCCCAAUGAUUUCCUUGAAAGUGUACUCCUCCGGAAGCAUAUCAAAUAAAUCGGCUCCUUUGCAGAUUACUUUCUGAAUUCUUUUAUGAUUCAAAAAAUAGGAGAAUCGAACUCGGUCAAAAUGGCUGUAUGCUUUCAUCUUAAAUGUGAACUCACUGAUAUGGCGGAAGCAAAAGCUACAGUGCCAUCCUGCAUCUGCCAAGAUAUCAUCUGACUGGCGAUAAUGUGCAUACCGAGUUUUACCAGUCUGAUAACGAUGUACUGAAGCUCUCCAGCUGUUAUUAUCCACAAGAAACUCAAAAGAAUAAAGAUAGUUCUUAAGCCGAAGAUGAAGGACUGGAGGUAUGUCAUCGCACCACCUCAAUAGAUUAAUGGUGUGUCUGCUUGGGAUCUCAUCCACAUCUGACAUUAUCAACAAGUCAUCAUCCGUAAUACCAGCAAUUUUGAGAAGUUGAUCCAGUGCUACUCGCUGAUAUGCCUCCUCAACAAACGGGUUUUCUCCUUUCUUAAAUCUACCUCCAAUAGUUCCAUAAGUCAAUCGGGGAUCCACAAAUUUGAACUGAUCCCGAUGAGCGGAAAAAACUAGAGGCUUUGGUUUUCCAGUGAAUGUCGAAUUAGACUCCAGGAGAACAAACUGUGUUAUAUAAGGAUACAACUCCUUCCAGCGUAUUGUAAGAAUGUCCAACUCAUUGCUGAACAAAACUGCAUCAUAAACACGUCUUGGGUACUCACGAAUUCCCCAACCAUGAAGUUUGCAGAGUCUCUCCAUUGAUACAUUUUCAUGAUAAUAGUGAGGGAUUUCAUGGAAGGGUUUGGGCGGGGAUUCCCAUAGUGGCCGCAAGAAGUAUGAGAUCUUCUGCCCAUGCACAUAGAUGCCAAAAACACAUGUUGGGACAAGCGCAAACAGAAAUAUAUAGGUCUUCAAAUCCAAGCCACGCAUAAUGCAGCGGAUUCUUGACAUGCUCAGACCUCGAUUUGAUUCCUGAAUAAAGAGUAAACUCUUAGCACUCAAACUCAUAUAUAAUCAAAUAUAAUACCACGAUCACAUCUAAAAGUUCAAUUGACCAUAUAUAAUUCAUCACGUACACAAAGCAGGGCUGUGUUAAGACGUAAGGAGGAAGAAAAAAAAAAAGUAAAGUGCAUGAACUGUAAUGUUCUGUUAAAUCCCCUUAAAGGAAUAUAGAAAGUAAAGAAAACUUGCUUAAAAGUUGUUUUCUUUUUCAAAGUAUAAAUACAUAAACUUUUUCUCUUUUUUCUGUUUCUUCAAUGAGGAGAUAUUACACCAAUAAAGAAGUUGCAACCAAAGUUGCCAAAUUUCCAACGGAUAAUUUUAUAAGAAGAGACUAAAAUAUUAUAUGCAAAUUGCAACUAAAGUUUCCAAAUUUCCAAGGGAUAGCUUUAUAAGAAGAGAUGCAAAAAUUAUAUAAAUCAGGAAGAGGAAAAUAAAAAACAAAGUAUCAAAAGUUAAUGGUAAGGUAAAUUCACUAUCUGCCCUUGGCAAUCAAGUCCAGAUAUUUUGGCAAAUAAUACAAAUAAAAGUGAAAAACAAAGUAUGUCAUAUUUUAAUUCUAGAUUAACAAAAAUCCAGAGCACUAACCAAACCCAGACGCAUCAAUUACUAGAAUCAAAUCAGCAACCAAACAUUUCAACAAAAUUUUAGCACAACAUGAACUUCACUGUAAAAAAGCAAAAUUUUCAAAUAAAUUGAAGAUUGCAAUCAACUGAUGCUCCUGGCUCUAUCAGAUGAAAGUGAUGCAAUCAGACCAAAGACACAUAAAUUGUCACAUUAGACACAAUUCAAAACGCAGAACCCAGCCUUUUAUGGCCUAAGUCUACAGUAGCCAAAAACCUAGAUCCAAAAUUUAAAAAAAAUAUUUUUUUUUCUUCCCCACAUUUUUCCAUACCCAGAAAUCAUUUAUGGAAAAUCAGCAAACAAAACUGAACGAAUCAAGCACUCGACGAAGAGGGUUCACGGUUUCACAAAAGUCCCAGAUGGGGAAAAUUAAAUUUAAGGAAAAAAUAACUUUAAAAGAAGAAAAGAAAAUUGAAAAAUACCUGGCCACAAACAUUGCCGCAAAUAUCAUCGCUCUUUUUAGAACAGUAAUGACCGCCUUCAUUCGUCAUCAUCCACCACAUUCUUCUUCUUCCUUUCGUAUGUUUUGUUCUUUUUUUUUUCUCCUUCCUUUCGUCUUCGAUAAUCACGAACAGAUCGGCUCCCGUAAUGACCAAAAUGCCCCCUGUCCCCAACUCUGCCUCUUCUUCCUUCUCAAACCCCUCUGGCCCUCUUCUCUUCUUCUACAAUCCGGAGGUCAAAUCGGGAACAAACACAAAAAAGUUCAAAUCUUUAACUCCACCAGUCGAUCCCUCGAACCUCCCAAUCCAAGAGAUAGAGAGAGAGAACGAGGGGUGUCUAAGAAUUGCUAAAAUAAGCGAUUAAUGGAGUGGCGUCAAUCUAAAUUAUUAAUAUCGAAGCCCCCCAACAAGAAGUAAUUACCAAUAAUUAGCCCCCAAAAAAUAAUUAAAAGAAAAGAAAAAAUGAAAGGCUGUGGCCUCUCUGUUAAUGGGUGGCAGUUGUAAAGAAUUUGUAACAAGAAGAGCGAGCGAGAGAGCGAGCCGUUUCUCUUGUCUUGUCUUGUACCUCAACUUUCCACUGCUUCUUUGUCUGUUAAAUAUUUCAAUUUCUUUUUCCCUGGUCGACGGAAAUACCCAUGCCUUAUGCACAGGCUGGUGGCAUAAGCAACGGUCUUUUUAGUAAUUAAGGAUUGAGGGUACGGGUUGGAACGUUGGGUUGGGCCGGGCCCGGUCCCCACGCGUCUAUUGACUGGCUCAAGACAACCCCAUGUCGUGUCUUUCUUGAUUUGCUGACAACAAGUCUUCUGCAAAAACCGGGUUCGUUUUUUAACAUUAAAUUUGAUUCCAAGUUUUCUUGUCUUGUUAAAUUACUCGUCGCGGCGACACAUGGCACCCUUGUGCUUGCUUUCCGGACUUUUAUCUUGUUGGAUUCGGUUUGAACUCGUUUUGAAUUACUAAGUAUUGGAAUAAAUUAAAAUUCACAUGGGAUAAUUUUUGUCAACCAAAAAAAAGAACGAAAAUUCUAACUUCCUAGUAGAUCCAAAUUGUUUAUGAGAUUAUACUUUAAAAGAAUUUAUUUAUGAGAUUCACCAUUCAAAAAUUAAAAUUAAGAAUUUUCAUAAAUAAAAAGAUAAACGCAUAAAGAUUUUUGUUUAGUGUUGCACUUGCAAUACAAAUAAGUCGAAUUCACUUUACAAAUUAUUUGAGAGACGUGUUCACCUUUAAAAAUAAUUUUAGAAAAAAAAAAUUCAUAAAUCAUUAACUUAAUAAAAUUAAAAUUGAAAGAACACGUGUUGUUUCUGUAAUAAUUGGAAUAUUGAUGUUCAUAAUAUUACUAUUACAUAUAAGUCAAUUCGUUUAAUGAAAUUUCAAAACGGGUAUAUAGAUGUUCAAGAACAUAAUUUUUCUUAUAUCGGAUUAUUUAGCGUGGGUCUAUCUAUUGAAAAGUUAUAAUUUUAGAAUCAAAUGCCCUACGGGAAAUUAAAUCUUUUAUUGAGAAAAAAUCAAUAGACGUUAGUUUGACACAUUCAAGUCUAUGAUUGGGAAGUUCGGAACCAGGUCGCAAGGGGGACCAAUAACCAAUCGGUUUGCUUUGGCGAAAAUGUGAGACGGCGUUUUGAGGGAAUAUGGGUCCUACCAUGAACAUGUUAUGGGAUUUUAGCUUUUUUUUUAAUUUUAAUUUUUUUUAUUGGGGCCCCCUAAUUAAGGGGUCGGGUUUCGACAAAUUUUUAUGAACAAAGCACAUGGUUUUAACUUUUAAUCAUUGCUUAUUAUAACAUAAAAUUACCAUGACACAAAUUGUCCAAUACAUUCUUGUUUUCACAAUUUUUAACUACGUUUAUUUCACAUUGUUGAUUCUCCAUUUGUUUUUUUUUUUUUUCCCCUUUAUUUCAGGAUAGGCCAUGUGAUUUGCUUUUUUUUUUUUUUCCUUUAAAUUACUAAUAACGUUUGAGUUUAACACUCUACGUUAUCCAACAUUAGGACAUUCUCAAUUCAUUAUCAAGUUUAUGUUAAUCUAAUAUUCGUCAUGACUAUAAGUACGUACAAAAAUAUAAUUUUUAUUACUCCCAUAUCAAAUAUAUAUAUAUAUAUUUUUAAAAGUAAUAUAAUUCCUUAACACUACAAUGAAAAGUUGAUAUUAUUAAAAAUAUAUCAUAGCUUAAGGGUCAAUGAAGCAUAGCUUAAGGCCAGUUUGGUAGUGUUGUAACUUUUAAUAUAAUUGUUGCUGGCUAUGCAUUAGAAAUAAUAAAUUGUGAAAUAAUCAAUUAACAGUUUAGUAAAAUUUAUUUUUAAAAGUAUUGUGAAUUUUAUAAUACAAAUGAUUGAACUGGAUAUAAUAUGAAAUAAAAUUUAAAUAUAUAUUAUCUAUAUAUUUUAAAAAAUUUACCUAACACUAAAAUUAAUUUUCAAAAUUACUUUUGGACUUAAAAAAAAAUCUCAAAUGAGCCGUUAAAGAUGUUCAUCUCAUUGUUGGAAAAUUAAUUGAACAUGUUUAAAUAAUAUGUCUUAAAGGUGAUAUCUAAUCAGCACAUUCCCUCUAUUAUGAUGGCACUUGAUAUUGACCAAGUGCCAAUUAAUAUGAUUCUUUAAUCAAAAUUUAAGAAAAUAAACAUAAAGUUUAAACCAAAUCCCCCACCCAAAAAAUAAUUAUGGUAGCAAUUAAACUCAAAAAGUCAUACUAUAAUUAGUUGCUUAAUCCUAUGAAACAUUUCUCUAAAUCUUAAGUCAUUGAAAUUAAAUUUGAUGAUAUCUUAGUAAGUCUCAACAAUUAUUUUUUUGGGUUAUUUUCAUCAACUCAAGAUAAUAUUAUUUUUUUGGGUUAUAUAUAUAUAGUUUAACAAAGAUGUAGUCGAAGGAUUUGCUCAAAAUGUGGGUGGUUGAUAGAUUCCAAAGUUCCAAGCAGAGAGAGUAUAAACCAUAACAAUCAUUCAGACAUUCACCAUAACAAGUCUUAUUAAGAGUUCGAGGGGACAAUUAAACUGAACAAUGGUAUAAAUAUUGUUAAAAUACAUUCAGGAUCAUAUCGAUCAUUAAUGCUUAAACCAGACCCAUAUAAUAUUUUAUUUAUUUUUCCAUACCUAGACUUUCGAGAAUAACAGAGGAACAUUCAAAUAUUGUAAAAAUGAAACAAUCAUUUCAGUCUGCAUUGACUUUAGAAUUAGGAGGAAGCAACCCAUUAAUGCAUAAACUAAACACAGCCAGUCAAACACAGAGAUAAACAAAUAAAAUAACAAAGAAGUUGCCAGUCGAAGAGGUUUUAAUUUAAUUACAGAGACAAAAAGGAAAGAUGAGAUUUUAAAUGCGGUCGUGGACCGACCGAACGAAACCCAGCAGCACAUGAAUGAAGUUUCAACUUCCCCAGUCGGAACAGAAAACUUGCCGUCGAAGAAUUCAAAUUUCAGUUCAACCCUCUUAAAAUGGCAAAAACAAUACAACUCUCUCUCUCUCUCUUUAUUUCGAAGAAAAGAAACAGAAAUUACGCGGCACAUCAUCUGUUAAGUAAUUUGACUGAGAUACGAUAUGGAGGCUCAGGCUCUUCAAAUCCAUGUCACCGCAUGGACCGCUUCUAAAUUAACGCACAAGAUGUCUAGUUUUCAAUAGAGAACUAUACAAUAUUAUGGUGGUAUUUCAGUGCACAAGAUUUCUCCGGGUAUAUCAUCAAUAUAUAAACUUAUGUACAAAGUACAAUUUAAUCAGUUAUUCGGUUUAGAUAUAAACAAAAUUUUUUUGUUCGAUACUUCCUAUUUGAGAAAAAAAGAAGAGCCAAAGCCUUAUUAUUUGAUAAAACUAAUUGAACUCUUUAAAAUACAUCCAAACUUUCAUGAGUAUCAAUUUUUUUUUUUACUAAUCGUACGGUUGUUUGAUGUUGUCAAUAUAAAUGCCUUUAAUUAUUUAAUUAAUUAAAUAAAUUUAGAAUCAUAAUUAAUUAAAAAAUUAAUAAAAAUUCUAAAAAUUAUUUAAUUAAUUAAAUAAUUUAAAAGCAUUUGUAUUCUCAACAUCAAACAACCAUCAAGGCUAAAAUAGUAAGAUAGCAAAAUAAAAAAAAAAUUUGAUAUUCAAGAGAAUUUAGAUAUCUUUUGAAAUAGGAAGAGAAUUUUUAUUAAUUUUUUCAAAUAUCAAGAGGUUCUCUCCUUUUUCUCUUCCGACUUAUUUUCAAAGAAGCUACAUCGUAUUCUCUCUCCUUCUUCUUAGUUCCGAAUCUUAAAUCUUUCACCUUCAAACAAUUCGUAUCUGCCGCAUGCCAUGUCAGGCAUCAUUCUUAAUAAGUGAUCGACGCGUAUAUAACUACAGUAGUUCGAUAAUCAGUCAGGAACAAAAGUUUUACCUUAUAAUAAAAACCAAUGAGUCUCACCAACAUAUAAUAAUAUAAUACCCACUCCCUCUUGAUUCUUAAACUUAAAGAUAGUAAGUCUUCCCACGAUCCUUUUCAUCAUGGGCGGAUGUAGCAUGUGACUGGUGGGGGCUCAAGCCCCCACUGGCCAAAUUUUUUUUUUUAAAUAGAAGAGAAAAAUAUUUUAAUUUUUUAAUUAGUCCCCGUUAAAUUCAUUAAAAUAGUCACUAUAAAAUAUAAACCCCCAUAAAAUUUAAACUUUGACUUUUAAGAAUUAUAAAAACUUAUAUUUUAAUUAAAAAUAAUGAUAGCCCACGACUCAAAAUAUUUUAUAUUAUAAAAAAUAAGAUUAAUUCUUCUAGUUUCUAUAAUAAUAAUAGAACGAACGUUUUCAAUAAUGAAACUCAUGAAAAAUCAUCUUUGGAAUGGAUGGGAUAAAUGAUAGUCUAGUUGUUUAUAUAAGAAACAAUAAAUUUAAUAAUAUUGAUAAUGAGUCUAUUACAUAACAUUUUUAAAAUAUAAAAAUGCGUAGAGAAUAAUUAUAAAUGUAUUAGAAAAUAUUUUAUAUAUUCAAAAUUUUAAUUUUUUAUAUUUUACUAUUAUUUAAUUUAGCCCUCGGUAAAUUAUUUUUCUAAAUCCGCCACUGCUUUUCAUGGGCUCCAAUCGAAGCAAAGACUUAAAAGUCUCGGUGCAUGUGCUUUUUCAAAAUUGGUUAAGGCAUCGGCACUUUGGCAUCUCAGUCGUCUGUGACCUAAUAAUUACCAUUGGCUUCGGUUGAGGUCGGGACUCGGCCAGUCGACACUCCACAAGGCGAUGACUCAUGGUCAUGUCAACGCGUGAGCUCCGUUUCAUUCAUUUUGAUUUGCCAAUUGCUGCCGACCCUGUCCCAUUUUGCAUUAUUAAUUAAUUCUUGCUUUGAUUUCUAAUUAAAUUAUCCAAAUGCCCUUCAAAAAUUCAGGAUUUUCUACCAUCCUUGUUUACAUCAAUAAAUAAAUAAAAAUAAAACAAGAAUGUGUUGAUUGAUAAUAUGAUGUGCGUACAUGUGUUUCUUAGUUACAGCUAAUAUAUAUAUAUAUAUAUACACAUGUAUGUAUCCGAAGUCCUGACGAGGAUUUCAACUCUUUUAGAUGGUAUCAAUUAGUUAAAUGAUGAGUCGUCUUUACGUUAAAAAAUUAUUACAUCCGAGUUUGAUUCGACUUAUACGUACAGAGCUACAUGCGAGAAAAACGACACUAAAGUUUUUGGAGUAAAUAACACUCAAUUCGAUAACAACGUAACUUAAUUAUAUAAUUUACAACCAGUGAUUGACAUUUUUCUCCAGUUUGUUUUGCAGUUGGAGUUACGUUCUUAUGUUUAUAUCUUCCUUGAUCUCUUUCCUAGAUUGGAAGAAGAAAUUUUAUUUAGAAAUGACAAAAAUCCAAUAAUAAGUUGACGAUGCGGAACGAUAAGAGAUUGAUAGUUAAGAGAAACUAAAUUUUUGAAUAAUAAAAAUUUUAUUAAAAAAGUUUAAAUGGACAAAAUCAAGGAUUAGAGCCCUUUUAUACUAAUCAUAAGUAUAGUAAAUUUAUAAAAAUAGGCAAUCUUGAAAUAUUAUCUUAUAAUAAAGUUCUCCUAAUUAAAAUAAGAAAAAUAAAAUAAAUGACAGCGAAAUUCGAUAUCUAAAAAAAGAUAAAAUCCUGAAAGUAAUAGAAAAAAAAAACUACAAAAUGAUUAGGGAAAAAAUGGAAUUUUCUGUUUAAUUACGGAAAAAAAUUUGAUGUAAAUAGUUCUGAAUUUGGUUUCUCUCAUCGCAAGCUUUGAAACAAUACAUUAUACACCUAAAAUAAAAAUCUGUAAUCCAUGUUGUGACCUCCAGAAAAUACCCUGUUCAUCAUGUGCAACCAUCCCUCGUCACUAACUCACAAGCUAACUAACCCGACUGGUUUCUCAUCAAAAUUGAAACUUUAUUCAGUCGAUGCAACAAACAUACUUCGGAUAUAGAAGGGAGCAUUUGGCAAGCUCUGCUCUCCUUGUUUGACUGGUAAGGACAUACCUCGAGUGAUAUGCUUAAUUAAUUUGCAUUUCUUUUAUUUGGGUAUUUUGUAAUUAUUAAUUUGUGCAGGGAUAGGCGUAGGGCAUACUUACAGGCCAAUGAAAGAAGUUCAAUUAGUUGGAGAUUCCUAAACGAAUAUAGAAGGUGGGGGAAAAAAAAAGACAGUUUCCAGGUUUGACCAGCUGGAUAUAACACCAUUAAAGAACAAAUGAACUCUAACAAGCCUUACAAAACAAUGCAGCACAAAGAGACUUUCUAAUCCACAAUUUAAUAUAUCUUGGCAUCCAUAUAUGUAAUGUUGGUGGUUCCUAGGCCUUACAGCUUAGGUGAGAAUUGAAAUUUUGAUUGCCGUUAAUCGGGGUUAACAUCUGUCAAAACAAUGUGAUCAACGGUCCCACAGCAAGGAUAUCAUUUGCCAUAUGAAUAUGACAGCAAUUCGAUAGGUGCAACGGCUAAUUUUGGCCAGUUAAUCAAUUAUGUACGGUUUUAACAAGUAGAUAAAUAAAGUCGUGGGUGGACUAAAAAGGGGUACGGGAUUUAGCCAUUUUGGUAGAGAGGCAGCGGACGUGUGAAAUGAUAUUUUGUGCGAUGGAGAAGAGGUGUGAAAAAAGAAGGGGUUGGUGAACAAUGCGAAGCUUAGUUCGUUCAAUUCAGAUAUAAUGAGUAUCAAUUAUCAAAUGAUGAUACACGUAAAACUCGCGUGCGGUAUUUGAUUGAAACCAUAUUCUGCAAGUUAGAUGGCCAAUCUUUUAGAUAAUAUUCUUUUAAGAAUCAGUAGUCGACAUUCAAUUCUUGUCCCAAAAAAAAAAAAAAAAAAAAGAACGAAUCACAUUUCAAACCAUCCCGGCCCACUUCUUUCAUUUCCAUCUCAAGCUUUACACACCAUUUCAUCAAUAAUUUAAAAAACUCGGCAUUUUCAUUCAGCUCUCAAAGUUGAAACACACUUGCAGUUCCAUGGAUUCCCCAAGCUCCGACACACUAAAAUUCGAAAUAUGGCUCAGUCAAAUAUAUUAAAUCCAGCAGCAACUGAACUUCAACAGUCAUUACUGGCUGAAAUUCAAUCAGCCAAUACAAUUCAGCAGUAGCCAUUUAACAUCAAGCAGAGGCAACAUUGGCCUUGUUAAUGGUGUGUGUUUGAAAGUAUCACACAUUAAACAUAAUGGAAGACGACUCAAACUUACAUCUACCUACAUCUAUGGUUGAGUAAACAAUGAUGCAAUAUCUUUUCAGUUAAAGGCUUACGCAAAAAAGAUGACGUAUCAUCUGAUCCUUCCAAAAAAUGUGUCAAAUGGGAUUAUUUUGAGCUCUGCUGCAUGCCAUUUAUCAAUAAUAUUUCCUGUCUCACACGUUGUAGGAUUCAUUAGCUAGUAACUGAUCAGGCCUGAGGUAAUUGCCCUUCAUGAUUAAAAUCAUUUAGUUAGUACGUAUCUAAUUUUGGUCAAAUGAGUCAAGUACAGAAUGUAAAUGAAAAAAGAAGAAACACUCACCAUCAUCAUGUACAGUGUUCCGAGUUGCAUUGGCAGUUUCAGUAGCUAAAUCCUCCUUGAUUCUUAGUGCCUGAUCUCUUCUCCUCCUUGAUUCUCAGUGCCUGAACUCACUACAUUGGCAUAUAACACUCUGUCAAUAACACAAGACAAACAACAUUCCAAAAAGCAAUUUCCGUUUCGUCAACAACCUUAUAACAGACACUGUCAUCCUGUACCAAUUUCUACAACAUACACCCUUAAUUGUGCAUCAAUCAUUUCUGCUCAUUCAAAUGUCGUUAAACGGGAAUUUAAAGUUAAAUCAGAAUACAUAACAUAACUCAGACUUCCAGCAAAGACGAAGGGUAACAGGAAUAACUAAUGCUUUUGGUUUAAAAACUCUCUGAAUUAGUCGCCACCCUCCUUUCACUUUCUGGCCACCAUUGUGGCCUCACCAGCUGUCGUUGGUGGUGACUAGCCACUGCCGGCACCACCCCUCACUGCCACCCAACCAGCUGGCAGCCCAUUUGCCAAACAUUGCCGCUCCAAAUCGUAAUCCAAGUUCACAGCUUCCCCAUCAAAAUCUACCAUUGCCAUCCACCCUUAGCACCAUGCAUUUCCUUUUGGCCGCCGCUCGCUCUCACUCUCAGCCAUCAACCGGUCCUUUGACUACAACAGCCUGCAAAAAUCUAAAUCCGACCCUUCACCAAAACCCUAGCUUGCUUUCUCUUCACCAAACACAAACUCUUGCAGCUGCCCCUCUCUUCCUUGGCUGCUCACUCCUUCACAGAUAAUGGUUGCUGCCCUCCUUUGUUGCCUCCACAGACUCCACAAAGCCAACAAACAUCCAACUCCCACUUGGCGGUCACGAUUCCAAACCUGCCUUGUACUCACACUUCCAUGCAAAACCCUAAUCCACCUAAAUCUAUCCACACACGUGGCAAUAUGUAUGGUUUUGACAAUCAAACAGCCCAUACACCAUUCUCACAUCCUCAAGGCCAAACCCGCAACCCCAUUACCUCUUCUAAGCCUUCUUAUGCCUCCAAAGUUAACCCAGCGGCUUUCCUUAACCCCACUGCCCCUCAUAGACCUCAAAAAUCUUUCGUUGAUAUUGUUGUAGGCUCCUCCACACCUUCGAUUCUGGUUAAGCCUAGCAUUCUACGCAGAGGUGAACCUGCUGUUCACUUUUCUGCUACUGAAGCCCUAUCCAUGGCCAAACCUUUCAAGCUAUCUCUAGUGGGUAAGUUCUCUUUUGACCGUCUCCUAAUAAAUGUUAUAAGGAAGUCUUUUUUCUUCGAGCUUGAAAGAGUCUACUCAAGUUUCUUUGUUAGACAAUAGACAUGCCUUGAUUAAGUUUCAGGCCUGCAGUCAGAGGAAGAUUACUCUCGAAUUUGGCUAAGGCAGUCAUGGUAUGUCAAUGGUAGAGCUAUGAGGAUUUUCAAAUAGUCCGCUGCUUUUUGCUGUUCUCAAGAGUCUCCUGUUGAUCCUUAUGGGUUUCUUUGCUUAUUUACUUGUUCGCUUCAUUCAUUGCAAGAAGCCUUAUAUUCAAUUGCUGCUAUUAUUGGUAAGCCUCUUCAUGUUAAUCAUGCUAGGGCCUCUUCUAAUAGUUCCUUUACUGCUAGAAUCUUAUCUUGGUGGAGUAUGAAAUCUUGCGGCUUUAUUGCCGCAUAUAUGGAUUAGUGGGGGUGAUUUUUGAAUUUUGGUAGGAUGUUGUAUUUGAGAGGGUUCCCGAUUAUUGUGAUUCCUGUAAGGUGGCCACUCCAUUGAUGCCUAUUAUGUAAUUAAUCCUGCGCUUCGAAAGCCCCAAAAGCCUAUUGAUCAAGCGCAAGUUAUAAUUGUUCAGGACAAGGGUAUGAAACCAACGUCAGAUGUAGAUGUGCAGUCGGGGGUGACUCCUGCUUCUCAGAAUGUAAUUGUUGCAAAUAAUCACCCUAAGGACCUAUUUUUAUCCCCUUUUAUGAUUUGGAUACUACUGCCUAGGUUUUUGUGAAUCAAGGUCAAAGCUUUGGUUCGGUGCUACAGCCUAAUUCUAUUGAUAAUCUGGUUAGGUACAGGAUUCUGUGCUCCAGGUUAAGUCUGAUGUGGCUGUUGAGCCUAAAUAUCACGAUGAUUCUCCUCUGCAGGGUCCGGUUGAUCAAACUAGUGAUGUUGGAGACAUGGUUUUGGAUGAUCUAGGUGUUGAGAGAGUUUUCACAGGCUCCAAUUGCUUUGAAUCUGCAGUGGAAGAUUAUCGGAAUAUGGCUGUGGGCUUCAAAUCGCACUACUAACAUUCCUUUCCAAUUUGAAGAGGAUUUUAGUUCCGAUGGAAAACCUGUAGCUAAUGCAUAUUUCUUAUCUAAUCCUGAGGUCACUAGAGGGCUUGAACUUAGCCUCGACUUCAGUGUUGUUAGCCCGCAUGCCACUGGUUCAGAAAAAGAUUUCACUUUAGUUACUGGUCGCAAGUAUCGAAAAGAGACAGUCUCUCCAUUAGCUUUUUCUUGCCUCCGUGGUGGUUCUUUUCUAAGGCUUUGUGCUUGUCUUGUCUUUGUUUGGUGUUUUUGGUCUCGUUGCUUUUUUAUAUCUUUUUUUUUGGUUGAAUUGUUCAUUGCCUUUAGCUUGGAGGUUUUGUUUCUUGAACCCCUCAAGAUGCUUGGUUCUUGAUCCCCUUAAUAUGUUCUUCAUUUAUUUUUAUCAAUCUACAAAUAAGAGGGUUCGCCUAGCCACCACCCAUUUCUUUUGGUAGUCUUUAGUUAAAAAAAUGAAAAAUCAUCAGGUCAUAUCAAGUAGAGCCUUUAUAAUAAAUCCAUCUAUUUCUUUUUCUGGAACCUCUACAAGCUGUAUUAAUAACAACAUCAUCCACCUAUGUGCCUCCAUCAAACACACGCAUCUUAACUGUUGUCUGUUGACACUGCCAAAUUUAAUUUCAAGCUUAAAGGCAUUCCCAAACGACCAACACCGUGAACCCUAAAGCCUAAAAUCACUAAACACAAACGUCGAGCCACCCAUUUUCAAAUUUUUCAACCCAAGCAUACGAAAUACCAGAUUAGUGCAAAAAUGGCUUCAAGCAAUUUUUUUUUAACAAAGAAUAUCCAUUUAUUUGAAUUGAUUAUGACUAAAAUGUCAUUUUAUCGUAUUGCCUUCAUUGACCGCCUGCAAAUUUAUACAGGAGAGAAAAGUGAAAAUACAUUCAUAAGUUUGAAACUUUAUCAAGCUAAGAACACGGUAAACUACGGGCAAGGAUAAUAAAAAGGGUCCGGCUGCAUUAUAAAGUUGAGCCACUCACCCCCGGCUUUAAUUUCUUCCCUUAAUUUAAAUAAAAUAUUUAUUGAAUAUUAGAGGAGAUAAAAUUUAUUAUAUAAAAUUUAUAAAUUUAAUACUAAUAAUUAUCUAUUUAUAAAAUAUUUUUAUUAUAUUGUAUUCAUUUUGUGCAUAUAUUACAUGUGUGUAUAAUUACAUAAUAAUUUCUUGGAUCUAGGCCACUUUAGUUUCAUUUGAGUAGACUAUUAUUUAUGAGCCUGACUGACAUGAAACCCAACUCAUUUUAUGCCUUGGAUUUGGAGGCUGGAGCUCAUCCUAGCAGUGGAUUCGAAAAUUAGAGAACUUUCACGAAUCUAACUACUGAUAAUGUAUUCAAGAAUUUUCGCUGCUUUUUCUUUUUUGCAUUUCUUUGUAUUUAAUGCUUUUUAUUUGCUCAUUAUCCUUACUGUUAAGAAAAUGUUAAUGUCAAAGACAGUAAAAAAGAGCUAAUAAGUGACCAUAGGGAAAAUAAUGGUUUUAUGUUGCAUUUACUUGUCAGUAAUCGGAAUGAACUAAAAUGAAAAUGAGAAUGGGGAAUAGAUUGUUUAUUUGGGUUAGAGAAAUCAAAAUUGGAAUGGGCUUAGAUCUCAUUGAUGCGUUUAUUUUAUCUUAGAAUCGAAAUCAGAAUGAGUUAAAUUGUUUUAAGUUACUAAAACGUCCUUAGUUAAUUAUAAUAAUAACUAUCAUCGUCAUCAUUUGUGAUUCUUAUUAUUAUAAAAAUGAUUGUUAAUAAUAAUAAUAAUAAUAUUAAAAAUAAUAUCAUUAAUAAUUUAUUAAAAUAUCCUUUAUUAAUUAUUGUCAUUUGAUGAUGAUGAUAACAAAAAAUAAUAGUAAUAAUUAAUAAAUUAACAACAACAAUUGAAUUCCAUAAUAAUAAAUUUUUAGUUUUGUUUUUUUUUCAAUUUAUAUUUUUUAAUUUCCAAAGAGGGUAUUUUGGUAUAUUUAAAGUGUAAUGGGGUUAAUGUUGUCAUUUCAAGGAAUGGGUUUCCCAUUUCCAACCUCUCUCGGAAUCACAACUCUAGCAAUCAAUUCAAAAUUUAUGUAGAGCCGGCAAAACUCAUUUCCAUUCCUAACCUUAAUUUAGCAAGUAAAUAAGUUAUCCAUUCCUAAACUCAUUCUUAAUUUAGCAAGUAAACACAACAUUAAUUGAUUGAUUUUACAAACUACAUUCGUAGUUUAUAUGACAUUUAGGCAAAGUGUACGGAUUUAACUGUGAAUUACCCUAUGAAUGAGUUGGGGUGGGUGUGAUUACAUCAAACUGGGGGUGGAAAUAUCAAACAGAACUUCCUAUCACUCAAUGAGGCCCAUCAAAUUUAACAAGGAGCCCAUUAAAUUUUUUUAGUCGUCUUUUUAUUUACCAGUCUGUCUUUGUUUUGCUGGCAAGAAAAGCACGUGUGCAAGCGACCCAAUAGGUGACGGUGAAUUUAGUGAAUGUUCCCUUACCAACUGGCCAUCUGUCUCUUAGUGGGCUGAUAUAUAUAAGACAACACGAGGUGACACAAAGUCACAACCUUCACGUGUGGGGUGGGCCUUUCUGUGUGAUCGCUCAAAAGAAAGGGAGAGACCAAAUUUUGUGGUGCAAGUGAUUUGGGUCUCUUUUUCUUGGCCUUGUAUGUGUAGUGUGACAAAUCAGAAAUCAACAGAUGACAGAACCUGUAAUGCAAAAACAUUUUAGGAUGGGGGGGGGGGGUCAUCCUAUGUCUAUGUCAACCUCUUUUAUGGGCAUCAACAGCUGCUGGUAUGUUAUCACAUGGAGCCCAAUUCUGCCCUCCACAUCUGCUUUACCUUCUGCAAACUUUUGUUUCCCACCCUUGAUGUUGGAGAAAUUUUAGAGUGCAUCAAAGCCUCUACAUCUAAUUAAUAUAUGUAUGUCGUGUAUGUUUUUAUAUUGAAAAAAAUUACGAUAUAAUUGGUAGUUAUAUUUAAUUGAACUACAUGUGUCAUGCAUAUAUUAGUUGAACAUAAUACAAUCGAUAAUUCUAAAAUCUCUCUUUGUUGUCAAAAGUAAUUUCUUAUUUUUUCCAAGAAGAAUGUUGGUCUAAGUAACUCACUCAUAAUUGAGAUUUAAUAUUUUCUUAGUUAGUUUUUUUUUUUUUUUUUUGGAGCACACUGAUUACUGAUAGAUGUAUAUUAGCAUGCUAUUGAUAUUUAUAAUAAAAUAUCUAUUGAAAUUACCUUAAAUCAAAUCUCUUAUGGUGCAAUCUAUAUUUUAUCGAAAGAGUAAAUAGUCCAUAUUAUGAGACAAAUUUAUCAUUACAAAAUUAUAUUAAUGAAAAAAAAUUAGAGUAGGUAAGUAUUCUAACUUAAAGAAACAAUGAAAAAUAGACACACACACACACAUAUUAAAUUGAUUACAAAUAGCUUCCAGUAAUCCUCCGUGUCCAUGGUCCAAGCAGUUUUGGACAGCCGCGGCCCCCAUGGGUGAUCUAAUGACUAUUCAUUGUACAAUUUCAGCCACAAAGUCCUUUCUCAAUAAAGAUAUCAAAUAGAUAACAUAUACUGUAAAGUUUUAACCUCGAAUCAAAGAGAAAGAAAGAAUUGGAAGACUCAUUCCAGCAAGUGCCAGAGCCCUCCUUCUUUAUUUAUUUAUUUAUUUUUUUAAUGUAAAGGUUGACCAAGACAUAAUCUAAAUUUGGUGUUGAUGAUCCCCAUAAGAAUGGGACCUCCAUGCAUGAUUACAUUUAUCUUUUCCGAAAGUGGGUUUAUAUGAUCAAAUAUGCUUAGGUUUUUGCUUAUAAUAUCAAAAUAUAUAUUAAUCCAUUGGGGUGAGGGACCGAAGACCUAUCUGCAGAAAAGCAGUUUAUAAUCAAGGAGCUGGCUAUGUUGGAUCUGUAUGUUACAGAAUCUGUAACUUAGCCAGCUCCUAUAAUCAAACAAAGUAUUAGAGAAUUUUCAAAUCAAUGGUUCUAUAUCCUUUGAAGGGCACACUAGAGCGCAACAAGUACCAUGGGAAAAUUAACAGUAAAAAUUAAAAAAAGAAAAAGUUUCACUGAUAUUGAAUAAUGUAAUGAUUGGACACUUUCAAUUUCGAUUCCAAAAGCCAUCAAAGCUCAAGUCACAUGACACGUAUACUUAGGAUCUCAUCAUGGAAGAUUUAAUUUUAUCUUGACCGACCACCUAAGUAGUUAGUUACAAGGCAUCUCAUACACAACAUGAUACAUAUCCUUAUGAACUUUAUUAAAGUUGAUAAGAACCCGCACCUGUUAUUAAAAGAAGGGUCAUGAAAAGAUCGAUUCACUGUUUUUCUUUUUCUUCCUUUUAUUUUUUAAUGGAGCUCUCUGAGAUUGUGUAACGCUGGGUGCUAAUUUAAUACAACAACAAUAAUCUAGAACUUUGUGCUUGUGUCAGACAGUUUGUGGAGAGCAAAGGAAACGAAGAGUUUAGAAUAAGCUUAAGAACAUUAUCAUGUCUAAGAUUUUAAUCAGUGAUUCGUUAAAACAACAUGAUUAAAUUUGAAUAGUACUAUACAUUUUAAAUUUUUUAUCUUAAGAAACUAUCUCAAAUGACAUGAUAUUUAUCAAGUGAUUGCUUAGAAUAAUACAAUUAAUUCAUUUAAAUUUUUAAUGAAUCAUCAACCAAUAAAUGAAUGACAUAUCAUUUGAGAUGAAAUUUUAAGAUAAAAGAUUUGGGAUAUCUAUUAUUAUUCUUCAAAUUUAGAGUCACUAAAAAAUUAUACGUGUGAAUCGAGAUUUAACUAAAUUUUAUUUAGUGUUUAUCGUUUACGAUCAAGUUAAAUUCAUUUUUUGGUAGAAUUAAUUUAUAAUUUUAUGUGAUAUGUAUUAUCGUGUGUUGAGUAAAAUAUUAAUCCGUGAUUGAUGAUUACAAGACAAGAAUAAGUAAAUCUGAAGAAUAAAAUGAACAUUUGGCGCCGCACACAAGUGGUUAAAGAAAAUUAAAUUCGGACGAAAAAGAAAAAACCAUCAAUCUUAAAUCAUUGCGAAUCAAGUUGACAUCUAAAUUAUUGGUAACACAAACAAACACAUAGUAAUUCUACCAAUAAUUAAUAUAAAUUAAAGAAUUGAAUGUGAACUUUCCGGCAGCCAAACAGCAAAAGAGUGAAUGUCAAGCCAACAGAAACAGUAAAAAGAAAAAGAAGAUAAUGUGUCUUUCUAGCCAUGUAUGACCAUAAGCAGUUAAAAGGGGGAAGCAAAUGAUGAUUGGAUUACUGCUAAUGAUGGACAAAAACAUAAGCUACCUCAUACAAAUCACUUUUUAUUCAUUUACUUACAUCUCCGUUUCGGUCAAUAAUAAGCAAAAGCAGGGAACCCAAUUGUCGUGUCACACUCAUCUUGCCCAUCCCAUGCGCUGCACGCGAAUCUUUGACAAUGCAUGGGGAGUUGGUGACUUAGGGAUACGAGUUAUAUACAAAUCCCAUCAUUUACCACCUACUAAUUGUGAUUUUCAAGCGUUUUAGCUUUUUACUCUUUGACUAAUUUGCCAAGUAAAUAUAACUGUAUCCGAAAUCAACUAAUGUACCCCAUUAGGGUUUUUGCUUGGACCAACCAAUGACUGGAGGUGGACACAAAUCUGCAACGUGUGCAGGAUUGAUCAAAAUCAGAUUUUAAUCAGCUGAAACACAAAGAGCCCACAUGAUGUAUGAAUACAUGAGAUGGGGUUACCACCUUGGAAAAGCUGAAAGUGGUUUUCGUUCAAUUUCAUGGUCCCUUUGUUAAAAUUUAAGUCGGAAUGUUACAAUUCAUAGACUCUGCAAAUCUGGUUCAGUUUUGUGGGGGCGUUUGUCAAUUUACAUGCCCUCUAAUACGGACAAAAUCUCAAGACUCAAGACUUAAAAAGGAUUAUAAGAGACAAGACAGCGAUCAAAGAAAAUUAAAGCUACGCUUGUGACGUUUUGUUUAUACUUUUUAGAUUAAUGUCUGGCAGCGGCAGCAACAGUGGCCCAACUGGCCUAAUGCUGAAUCAUGUAAUUUCAGUGUCCCUGCCUCUGUGGCGUCUUGUAGUUAAUUUGUUGACUCCAAGAGAGAAUUUAUGAAAGGCAUGGAGAGCUAUUAAAGCAGUGCUGUGUGGUAUAUCUAAAGCUUUGAUAAAUCAGUAUCAAUACAGGAAGCAGAUGUCAGAAUAUGCAUGAUUCAUAUCUCUAUUCUGCUUGAUUUUUAUUUGAUAAUUUUGUAUUACUAGUGAUAUAUGCAUGCUAUAAUUGGUAUCAUUAUAAAUGUACGAGAUUGGCAUACCGAAUAUUGCGUGAUGAUGCUGUCUCUAAUACUAGCCACAAUUUCUUUUGAAUUGAAACUAAUGGCAAGCUUGCGAAUGAACAGAGAUAUAUAGAAGAAGUAGAUAAUCAACUGUAUAAUGCAUUAUGCAUGUAUCCAAUGCAUUAGUUUUGCUUUGUAUACGUUUCCUUGGUUGCAAUAAUUUCAAUUUGAAUCUCAAGCUGGCAAUGUUUCGGCCAGCAGUAUCAGCAUAUCUUUAUAUCACAGUGAUUAAGCCCAAAAGAGGCCAAAAUCCAAACGGAACAGUUAACCAUUUUAGGGUCGUGGCCGUCACCAUUCAAUAAUGUAAACAUUACAGAAGAUUCUCAGUCCCUUCUACAACUUUUUAAAGGGCGUUUUUCCUGUUAUAGAUCUGUAAUUAAGUAUAUCUCAAAAUCAUUUUUAAUGAAAAAAUAAAAGCAUAUCGAUCUCCGGAAGAUUGUAUGGUCCUGAAAAUUUUGCUUUAUCCAUCAUGAUACAAGUACCUUAAGAUCUAACAUGAUCUAGCCCAGGAGAUUAUGAAAUUUUGACCUGUUAUAGAUCCAUAACAAUCUUUGAUCUACUUGUAGACAAUAUCACAUAGUGUCGCUUGAUUUUAUUAUUCUUUUAUGCUGUAAGUUUGGUGUAACGCAUUAAGCUUAAAAUAGAUGCUUCAACUUGAUUCUUGUAUUGCCCACAUGGGUUUGCUCAAGUGAUUUUUAAAUAAUUUUAUUUGGGUGGCCACGAGAGUUUGAAUCUCAAAUGUCGUAAGUGACCCAACUAAAUGCAUUAAUCAAUUUCAACUCUACGCAUUUCAGCACAGUCUCACUCUCUAAAAGAUAAUUGGUUUAGACAUUGUUCACUCUUAAUUUUUGAAAUGAAUAACAAUAAGGGAAUUGAUUCUUUUGUUAUUAACCACUCUUUGAUCAAGUGGUGAACUCCAACUUUAUUAUUGAGAUGGAGGGUUUGAGUCUUCUGUAUUUUUUAGAAGUAGAUUUUAUAAGUCAUUGUAAAAUUUAUGGUGCAACUAUUAGUCAAUUUGUAAUAUAAUAUUAGGAAAAAAAGAGAGGAGAGAAUACGAUUCUAGUAUCAUUCUUGUGUGACGCAUAAACAAAAUUAAUAUAUGAUUAGUUUUAAGUGGUAUGCAUACAAUGUAAACAAUAAAUUGUGUCGUAUUUCAAAUUCAUCCAUACUAUGUUUGCUAUUGAAUGAAUAAUUUUUUGUUUUUUUUAACAUUCAUGGUAUUGAAGUUACUGGUUAUGAUGGCAGUUAGCUCAGCUGAUAAUAUCUCUCAAAUGGUACAAAUCAAUUCGUGAUUUUAACUCAGCUAAGACACAUGCUUUAUUAAAAAAAUAAUUAAAUAAUUACAACGAUAUUGGUUACAUUUUGUCAAAAUACGAUUACAUUCAUGUGAUACAUGCAACCUGUAAAGGGUCCAAAAUAAAAGAGAGCAAGAUACAAGGGACCCACAUAGCGGGCCCAAGAGGGCCCUUUGAAAAAGGCCACUGUCGGUUGGCCGCCCCGAUGGGUGGCACUGAGAAGGACCAUUUACCAUUACAUUGCCCACCAUUUCAAUUGUGGAUUGCCCAUUUUUCACGUAGUGUUGACAUCAAAAUUUCGCCCACUCACUCAAUUCACAAUUACCCUCGCUUCGCUGCUGAAAUUUCAAUAUUGCCACUUGCCUUACUUCAAGGUUGGUGCUGAUCGAGCCUCGACGUAAUUGGGUGCCAUUUUCCCUUGUGAUCGUGUCGAGAAUUGGUGUGACAUAAACUGAUUGUGGUGCCGUACCGCAUUUGUUCCAUUUUAGAGGAAAGAGAAUAUAUAUAUAUAUAUAUAUAUAUAUAUAUAUAUAUAUAUAUAUAUAUAUAUAUUAAUAAUAAUUUUUUUGUACACAAAUGACAUGCUUAGGAGUCUGAAUUGAAGUGUGCUUCUGUUUCAUUGAUUAGAUGAAUUGAUUAACUACGUCCUUUUCCAAGAAUUUAAUUAAUUACAUGAAUGAAUGAAUAAAAAAAAAAUUAAGAUCGUUACAAGUGAUUUUUCUUGUUUCCCCCCUACUUCCGUUUUGAUGAUGAAUGAAAUGAGUGCUUUGACAGCUUGAGGAUUAGCCUUAUCACUCCAUGCUGUUUGCUUUCCAAAUCUUUAAUAAGGUUUAAGAGAUAAUCGACGUAUUAUAAGCUGGAAAAGUAACCAUUUCAUCAUUUAAUGAUGUAGACAAACAAAUUUGGGCUAGAGAGUCCAAGUUGGCUCACAAUUAACGUGAGAUUUACCUCUCUUGAUUAAGCAACGAGAAUUUCAUUUCCCUAUUUGCAUAGUUUAUCUAAUGGUUAUAAGUAUUUAUUUAAUCUUAUAAACUCUUAUCAUAAUUUUUAUUAUUAUUUGAUUAUCUUUUUAGUAGUGCCUUUAGAGCAUAAAUAAACUAUUUUGUCUCUACUAGUAAAAUCUCAAAUUUUAGAUUUUUUUUAAGAGUAGAUGUUGAAAAGAUUUUUUUUAAAUAUUAAAAUAUCUAAAAUAUCAUCUACUUAGUUGACAAUUUUAUUUUAUUAUCUUCGUAACAUAAUUUUUUUUAAAAUUACCUAUUAAAAUAAUUUCAUAGAUUUUUUAUAAAAAUUCUCAUUAACAACCAAACAACUAAAAUUUUUUAAAUAAAAAUUCUACUGUCAAAAUUUUAACUGAAAUAAACUAUACUUAAAAAACUGUACCAAAUAAAGCCUUAAUCUCGAACAUAUAUCAUAUUAUAUGAUAGCAGAACUUUAGAUUAAAAAUAUCCUCUUAAAUCUUAGUUCUUAAAGACAUAUCUUUGUGAGAACACCUGUAACUUUCAAGAUGGUUGUGAUAUUCGCAACUUCAUCUCUCCUGAUUGUCCAAUGGAGCCCAGUUUCCCAUCAAUCUCAGCCGUAAUGAUGAAAGUCAUCGUUAAGUAUUCAGACAAAUUAAACGAAGCAAAAUAAUGAUGAUAAAGAAAAUAAAAUAAGAGAAGUAUAAUUAUUUUUAUUUUGUUUGUUUGUUUGUUUGUUUUUUUUUUUUUUUUUUAAGUAAACCUUGAGAAUCCAAUGCAAAACAUAUUGACUAUGACCUUUAACUGCCUGAUAAUAAAAGUCACAGCUUAGCAGCAUUUCAUUAAUGAAACUUUAUACCAAAAUUUUCUCUUGCAUUACAUUAGUCUAAUAUCAACUGCUGCAUGGUACGUUUAGUGCUUCUUCGUUUUCACACCAAUAGUAUGCAAAUGUGGUCACGGUGCUCGUGGACCAUUUUGCAAUUAAUACAACACUAGGACAUUUUCGAUAUUUUGGGGAAUCGACAAGGGCAAUAUUUGCUUGCUGCCCACUACGUAAUCUAUCUAUAAAUAUACGGCCAUAGGUGAUAGUGAUACACAAAUCCUAUUCCACCUUUUAGCAUCCCUUUACUUUUUUUGGAGGGGGGGGGGGGGGAGGGGGGAUGGGGGGGUUAUAAAAUCUUUAAAGGUAUAUGUAGUAUAAUUUAGAAAGGAAAAUACUUUUGAAAAAAAUAUUAUUAUUGAUUUCUCUUCCUAAUAUUAACUUUUUGAUAUUAAUAUGGAAUCGAGAGGUGUACGAUGUUGCAUAUAAAAUAAAAUAAAAUAAAAUAGUUUUAAGUGUUUUGACUAAAAUAAUCAAGAAGAGGAGGAGGGCACGGUAAUAAAAAUGGUGUGGCAAUGAUGAGAAAGAGGGAGACACAAGUGGGCGCAGGAUAAGCACGUGGGCGACGCCCGCUUUCAUAUUUCAAGCUGGGAUGGCAUUUGCAUUAAGCCCAUUGAACCACAUUCUUGUUCAAGUUUUUAACACUAAACAUAUCUUUUUAUUUUUCUUUCAAAAGAAAAAAGAAAAGAAAGUUGAUACAUACAUGUAGUACAUGAUACCUACAGUUUUGUUAUCUCAAGUUUAAAACUCUUGGUGAAUGAUUGCAGAAAGCUAGCGUUAGAUUUGAGGUUGCUCUUCCUGAGAACUAGCCUUUUUGGUUUUAUCAUGUAUUAAUGUUGUGACUUGUGUGUAAUCUAGCUUCUAGAGCCAAGUGGAUUCAUUCUUAUUAUUAGGAGGGGAUUUUGCCUCUUUGUUUGCAUGUCCAGAUCAGAUGGGUUCGGUCAAAUGACAUAGACUUUGGAGUGUUUGAUCUUCUCUGGGUUUUCUGUCACUUGGACUAUUUAUGCUAUAAAUUUUCUUUAUAUUAAACUCUAAAAGAGUGACAUGUUAUGUUAUAUUAUUGCUGUUGUACCCACAAGAAAAAACUCUUGGUAUUCAUUUCUCCUUCAGCAUCCUCUCUCCUCCAUCAAAAUUCUAUCCUACUUAUUUAUUUGAGUUUUCUGAGUUCUGAAUUUUUGGUCAGGGCCUGGAGAACAUCAUUUUGGCUGGCUGCUGGAUAGACUUUUUCUUUGGGGCGGCUUUUAAUAGGUUAUGAAUGAAGUUGGCUUAUCUGAGUCCUUCUGAGCAUUUGGUUAAGAUAUAAACUUAAGCAAGAGAAGAAAGAGCAGAAGAAUCAGUCAUGAAGUUCAUGAAACUUGGAUCUCGGCCUGAUACCUUCUACACUUCUGAGGCUGUAAGGUGAGAAAAACAUCACUUAUUCAAACAUGACGCUUUCUUGAAUGAAUAUGUUAUUUUUCUUUUCUCUCUCUCUUUUUUUUUUUUUUUCCAGAGAAAGUACAAACAAUUUCUUUUCUGAAUGCAGGUCAAUCUCCUCUGAAGUCUCUAGUGAUCUCAUAAUUCAAGUGAAAGGAACUAGAUACUUGCUUCACAAGGUAAAAUUAGGGAUAUUGAUAUCAGUCGUUUUUAGAUUAUGAUUUUUAGGCUUUAUUUUGAUUGAUUUUUAUUUUAUUUUUUGAAUGUCAUUCCUAUGCAUGCAGUUUCCUCUGUUGUCCAAGUGUUUGCGGCUGCAGAGGCUAUGUUCUGAGUCCCCUGAAUCCUCACAACACCAGAUAGUCCAACUCCCUGAUUUCCCUGGCGGUGUCGACGCAUUUGAACUCUGUGCAAAGUUUUGUUAUGGAAUUACAAUCACUCUCAGUGCCUACAAUAUCGUAGCUGCAAGAUGUGCUGCCGAAUAUUUGCAGAUGACAGAGGAUGUUGAGAAGGGGAACUUGAUAUACAAGAUUGAGGUUUUCUUCAAUUCAUGCAUCCUUCAUGGGUGGAGAGAUUCCAUUGUGACUCUACAAAGCACUAAAGCUUUUCCUUUAUGGUCUGAGGAUCUUGGAAUCACGAGCAGAUGCAUUGAAGCAAUUGCUUCUAAAGUUUUAACUCACCCCUCAAAGGUGAGCUUAUCACAUAGUUACUCUAGGAGGGGAAGGGAUGAUAUAUCUUGUAAUGGUGCGGAGAGCCAAAGGCACAAAGCAUCAACCAAAGGCUGGUGGGCUGAAGAUAUGGCAGAAUUAGGCAUAGACCUUUAUUGGAGAACCAUGAUAGCAAUUAAAUCUGGUGGAAAGAUCCCCUCAAAUCUUGUAGGCGAGGCACUGAAAAUUUAUGCAUCUCGAUGGCUACCUAACAUAUCGAGAAAUGGACGUAUCAAUAAUCACGAAGCAUCAGACUCGGAUUCAGAUUCAGCCACUGAAGUAACAUCAAAGCAUAGGCUACUUUUGGAAUCAAUAAUAAGCUUGCUUCCGGCAGAGAAAGGUUCAGUUUCUUGUAGCUUCUUGCUUAAACUCCUAAAGGCAGCCAAUAUUCUUAAUGCUUCCUCUUCUUCAAAGAUGGAACUGGCUAGAAGAGUUGCACUUCAAUUAGAGGAGGCAACCGUCAGUGACUUGUUGAUACCUUGUCUAUCAUACACAAGUGAUACUUUGUAUGAUGUAGACAUAGUGAUGACAAUAUUGGAACAGUUCACGUUACAGGGGCAGAGUCCCCCAACUAGCCCGCCAAGGUCCAAGCUGGGAUUUGAAAGGAGAAGGUCCCGGUCAGCGGAAAAUAUUAAUUUUGAGUUACAAGAGAGUAGGAGAUCUUCUUCAGCAUCUCAUGGUUCCAAACUCAAGGUGGCAAAGCUUGUGGAUGGAUAUCUUCAAGAGAUUGCCAAAGAUGUUAAUUUGCCACUGUCAAAGUUCAUUACAAUUGCUGAGUCUGUACCAGAAUUCUCGAGGCUUGAUCAUGAUGAUCUCUACAGAGCUAUUGACAUUUAUCUCAAGGUAAACAACGAAUUGGCGUCAAUUGUUUUCAAAAUUUUACCUUAAACUCACCUUUCUAGUUGCCUAAAAAUGUUUAGACAAAUUUCGUUAUCAUGUUUUAGGAUGUGGGUCACCAUUAGCGGUAGCUAACCAACUCCUUGACCUUAGAAUCUUGUCUUGUCUGCAAUUUAUUGGCAGUUGGGAUGUGACUGACCUAACAAAAUUAGCUUGAAUGAAGUCUAGAGCAUGUGAAUAUAGAUGUAUAUUUAGACUUCUUGUUGGUUGAGAGUUUUCUUGCUGUACAAUCUACAGUCGUUUUAAGUCAGAAUAAAACUAGAAUCCUCCUAAGUUUUCAAUAUGGAGUUAAAAGUCCACGGUCCACACAGAUAUAUCUGCAGUGUGACCGGACCUUGCACCUUUGACAUGUUUCCUUUUUCAUACGGCAUGAAUUAUUCACAUUUCUUUGAAUUACGGGGUCAAAAUGAGAUAUUAAAAAAGAAAUUACAUGGACCAUGCAGGCACAUCCGGACCUAAACAAGUGUGAAAGGAAAAGAUUGUGCCGAAUUCUAGACUGCAAAAAAUUAUCUAUGGAGGCCUGCAUGCAUGCCGCAAGAAAUGAGUUACUCCCAUUAAGGGUGGUGGUCCAAGUUCUAUUCUUUGAGCAAGCUCGGGCCACAAUGGCCGGUGGCAAAAUGACUGAGCUGCCUAGCAACAUCAAGGCACUGCUAGCGGGGCAUGGCAUUGACCCGUCAAGGCCUCCACCGCCAUUAAGCACCACUAGUACCAUUCCAGGGGAUGAUCAAUGGAGCAUCCCAGGGCUUAAAUCUCCAAAAUCAAAGCUUUCAACUUUACGAAUGAAACUAGCUGAAGAUGAUGAAUUAGAUGAAAAUGAUUUGCACCCAGAUGGAAUGGGAAGAACUUCCAAAUUUAAGGCUUUCUGUGCUCUUCCUGCACGACCCAAAAAAAUGUUCAGUAAGUUGUUAUCAAUCAAUAGAAGUUCCAGUGAAAAGAAUUGAGUGACUUAUGCUUGUUUUCGAGUUGGGGCUGGUAGGGUAACUAAUACUCUUGUUUUUUGUACUUUAAGAAAUGGCCUUGUAAUUUUUAGCUUAAAAACAAAGAAUAUCAAAGUGCAUUGUCGAUGUAACCUGUUAGAUUACUGUCUCAAAUUCCUUGUGUUAUUUGGACUACUCAUCUGCCAUUGGAGAAUAAGAUUAUAAUUUUCAGAACGUGAGAGGAAAUUCUGUGUGUGAUGUGAAUGGAUCUCAAUUCUGAAACUUGAGAAUAGUUGCAACCGAGUCACUGUGGGACCACAAGUGGCAUUUGUCUAGAAAUCUGCAACACCUGAUUCUGUCACUUUGUUGCAGAUUAUUGGAUCCUCAGAUGAUAAAAAAAGUCAUUGGUAAUUUGGGUUUCUGACAGUUUGCAGCGCUGUGAUACUGGAAAGCUUUUUGUCUUGUGCCUUUGUCUUGAGGUAAUCAUUUCAGCUGCCUUGUAAAUUCCAUCGAAUUAUGAGCAAAUUAGGCCUUGGCGUUUGGGCAGAUCAGAGAUCUGCUGAUUCUGACUUCUGGGUGGCUGGAAAAUUCUUUUGUCACCCAUGAUUGUGCCAAUCUUGUCAGCAAAGAAAAUGAUAAUGGUAUCAAAAUGCGACAUCUGAAAAAUACAGAUAUACAGAAGUUUAACACAUGCUGGUAUGGCAAGUCAUUCCAUUUAUUAUCAUAAUUAUGCACCAUCAAAAAUAAACUGGAACUGGAAAUGCUGAUUUGCUAAAAAGUUUAGGCAACUUCACUUAGAAUAACCGAUCCAUCAAGUUGGACACUUCUGAUGUGUUUACAACCAUAAGGGUCAACUAUUAUAUCUUUGUUCCAUAUUCUUUGGUACUUUUGAGAGGAAUAUUCCUAUAGAAUAUGGUGACUCCUUUUAAAUUUCUUCACUUAGCUUUCGUUCUGUUUAGAAUGAUUUACAUAUACGGUUGAAUUUUGAAGCAUUGAUGAAGACAUUUUACUGCUGUGUUCGCUUGAAUUUUGAUACAACUCGGUGCAGUCUGAAACAUAAUGUCGUCAUUAUUUGUUUUAAUGGAAAGUACGCAUAGGCGUGAGCUGAGUCCUUCAACAUAUAUAGGUUAGUUACUCAGCAUAGUCAGCGACUCAUCAUAGGCUUUCGCUUUUGACUGUAAAGUUAGAACUAUCUUCUAGCAGCUGCAAGGAUUUUUUUUUGCAAUAUUCAACUCCAUUUACACCUCCAACUUUUCCCUCAAAUCCUUACUGCUAAAAAUAAUAAUGUUAGAUUUCUCUUAACAUUUAAAUCUUAAUUUAAGUCCCAAUUAAUAUGGUAUUUAUUUAUUUAAUAGUGAUUAAAUAAUCUUAUAAACUAUGAACUUUUAAAUAAUCUUAUAAACUAUGAAUUUAUCAUCCAAUAGAUGAGUGACACGUAACAUUGAAGUUUAAAUUAGACGUUAAAUAUUGGGAUUUUAACAUUAUUAUUUGUUUUAUUUUCAAUUUUUUUUAAAGUAAUCUCAAAUUUAUGUCGUUAAAUCGUAUCCAAGUACUAUACAUUUCCAAUAUCUAUGACUAAAUUAUCUCUAAUCAGACAUUAGUGGCCAUUUAUCAUUUGCAGGUGUCGGGUCUAAACUUGUGGUAGCUCAAAUAUUAUCAUGUCAAUCAAUUUUUAACAUCAUUGAAGAAAUAAAAUUGCCUGGAUCAUCUUAGAUCUUAGAUCCUAUUGGAUUUAUACGGCUGACAGCUGAGUCCAAGGUUUGUUUGGUAUUGUGAUUGGAAAAAGUUGUCGUAUGUUAAUUUUAUUGUAUUCUUAUAUCAUGAAAAAAAAUAAUUUUUUUUAUUUUUUCAAAAUUAUUAUUUAAAAAUCAUAUUUACCCCAUAAUACAGCUAUUAUGUCACUUCAUUUUAGUAUCAAAUAGGGCCUAAUUAUCAAGGAAAUCUUCCCAUGAAAGAUAUACUAAUUAAGCCAAGACAUGUUUACUUGCAAUUCUUCUUCUGCCUUACAAGAUCCUAAGAUUAGUACCUUCGUUAGCUGCACCUAAUGAACAGGGCUUAACCAGACAGCCGGUUAGUUAUACUAUAUUUACACCCCGAAAAAAACUGAUAAUUACCUUCAAGCAAUUGAUUACAUUACAUCGCACAAGCAGUGUUACAACUUACACGCAUUCAUAAAACGGAGUAGAAUUAAUAGAAGAUAUUAACAGGAUUAAAGCAGAAACUAUAGAACAUCAUCAUACAGAAGCAAUGUAACAAAGAUAUGAGAAGCAGGGUGAUUAACGAUCAGAUUUGACAUAUAUACAGAACAUAAUAUCGUAAAAACAAUCACUGAGCCUCAAUGGUGUUUGCAUUACUGGUAGCAUCAGCCUUAGAGGUGGAGUCUUUCGAGUCAAUGCUUUUAGUCCGCUGGAGACUCGGGGCCCGGUGAAGCCUGCACCUGAAGGAACCUGCAUGUGUGGUAGGCGAGCAUAAGCAAAUAAAGCAAUUGCUCUUGGCUGAACUUGGUUGUCUUGUUAGCCCCGAUGUUGGAGAUACCAUUUCAGUUUCUUGUGGAGUCUCCACCUUCAUAUAAUUUUUGUUGCUCAUAUGUUCGCUAUCCAUUCAAUUUUCUUCCCUUAAACUUUCCCCCCCUGCAAGAGCUAAUUCACGGAUCAUGUUGUGUACCCACAAAAUGCAAAACGAAACAAUAAUAGUUUGUAAUUCGAUUAGAAAUUGUUACCUUUGGACUUUGGUGAUGUUCUUGAUUGACCCAGAAAGCACACCACAAAAAUGAAGAUCAAGUAAGAGAAAGAGAUGACAUUGGGAAUGGCUAAAAAUGACAAUAUGCUUUAUCUAUUUCUCUAUCACGGGAAUAAUAAUCGAUUCCAUUAACGUCCCACCUAGAUAUAUCACUUUUGUUGUGAAUGCCUCAACCACUCCCCCCAAUUAGAGAAACCCAUCAUAUCAAUAUGACCCCAUUACGUUUUGUAUAAUUUGAUCUCUUCUUUUUGGGCAUGCACUUGAAUCAUGAGGUGCCAUACCAUGCUUGUGAAAAAUCUUUAAAA